This 57884-nucleotide long non-coding RNA is filed under the name Solanum tuberosum (potato). RNAcentral's name for it is "long non-coding RNA (STUB_LNC001462)". Lineage: Eukaryota; Viridiplantae; Streptophyta; Magnoliopsida; Solanales; Solanaceae. The record is from RNAcentral.
AAAUCGUUUCUAUGCUCUACAGACUAGAGGUGAACAAGAGAGUUCUCCAGAUGUGGUUAUCGGUAUGUUGAAAGUUUUCCAACUUGGUGUAUAUGAUUUACUUGAUCCCGGUGCUACCUUGUCUUUUGUGACACCAUAUGUGGAGAUGAGGUUUGAUGUGCUCCCCAAUGUGUUGGUAGAACUUUUUUUCCGUCUCUACUCCUGUUAGUGAUUCUGUGGUGGCUAAGAGUGUCUAAGAAAGUGUCCCAUUUCCCUGUCCAAUAGAGUUACUCUUGUUGACUUGGUAGAGCUUGAUAUGUUAGACUUUAAUGUUAUCUUGGGUAUCGAUUGACUGCACUCUUGUUAUGCUUCUAUUGAUUGUAGAACUCGUGUAGUCAAGUUUCAGUUCCCGAAUGAGCCUAUCCUAGAAUGGAGGGGGGAAAUUCUAUGCUUAAGGGUUAGUUUGUUUCUUAUCUUAAAGCUAGGAAGAUGAUUUAUAAGGGUUGCUUUUACCAUCUUGUAAGGGUGAGGGAUGUAGAUUUUGAAACCCCUUCUCUUGAGUCGGUCCCCAUUGUCAAUGAGUUUUUAGAAGUGUUUCCAGAAGACUUACCCGGUAUUCCUCCCGAGCGGGAAAUAGACUUCAGUAUUGACCUUCUCCCAGAUACGCAACCUAUCUUUAUUCCUCCUUACUGUAUGGCUCCGGCAGAACUUAAGGAGUUGAAAGUACAGUGGAAGGAUUUAUUGGAUAAGGGUUUUAUCCAACCAAGUAUUUCUCCAUAAGGUGCUCCAGUUUUGUUCGUUAGAAAGAAACAUAGGUCCCUUUGUAUGUGUAUUUAUUACCGUUAGUUGAACAAGGUGACCAUUAAGAACAAGUAUCCUUUCCCAAGGAUAAAUGAUUUAUUUGACCAACUUCAAGGGGUAAGUUAUUUCUCUAAGAUCGAUCUCCGAUCGGGUUAUCACCAAUCGAGGGUGAAAGAUGAUGACAUUCCAAAGAUGACUUUUCAAACUCGGUAUGGUCAUUAUGAGUUUCUAGUAAUGUUAUUUGGGUUGACUAACGCUCCGACGGCGUUUAUGUACUUGAUGAACAAGGUGUUUAGACAAUAUCUUGACAUGUUUGCGAUUGUGUUCAUCGAUGAUAUUUUGAUCUACUCAAGGAGUGAGGAUGAGCAUAUGGAUCAUUUGAGGAUCGUGUUGCAAAUUCUUAAGCACCAACAGCUUUUUGCAACGUUUAGUAAAUGUGAAUUUUGGUUGAGGUCUGUACCUUUCCUUGGUCAUAUUAUUUCGAGUAAGGGUAUCGAGGUAGAUCCUAAGAAGACGGAUGCGGUCAAGAGUUGGCCUAGACCUCUAACUCCCUCGGAUAUUAGAAGAUUUUUGGGUUUGGCUGGUUACUAUAGAAGAUUUGUUGAGGGAUUUUCUUCAAUUGCCUCUCCUUUAACUGCUUUGACUCAAAAGAAGGCUAAGUUCAUAUUGUCCGAAUUUUGUGAGAAGAGUUUCCAAGAGUUGAAAGAUAGACUUACUUCCGCCCCGGUGUUGACCUUACCGAAAGGAAUGGAUAGUUUUGUGGUUUAUUGUGAUGCCUCAAGAAUUGGGCUAGGGUUCGUGCUAAUGUAAAAUGGGAAAGUUAUUGCCUAUGCCUCAAGGCAACUUAAAGUACAUGAGAAGAAUUAUCCUACUCACGACCUUGAGCUAGUGAUGGUUGUAUUUGCCUUAAAGAUUUGGAGGCACUAUUUGUAUGGAGUUCAUGUUGAUGUGUUUACCGAUCAUAAGAGUUUGCAUUAUGUGUUUAAUAAAAAAGAUUUGAAUCUUCACCAAAGAAGGUGGCUUGAGUUAUUGAAAGAUUAUGACAUGAGUGUUCUUUAUCACCCCGACAAGGCUAAUGUGGUAGCGGAUGCUCUUAGUUGGUUAUCUAUGGGUAGUGUUGCUCAUAUAGAAGAAGAAAAGAAAGAGUUGGUUCAAGAUGUUCAUAGAUUGGCUCGGUUAAGUGUUCAACUAGUGGACUCCACCAAAGGUGGUGUUAUGGUUCACAAUGGUUCCAAAUCAUCUUUUGUGGUGGAUGUGAAAGCCAAGCAAGGUCUUAAUCCAAUUUUGGUAGAAUUGAAAGAAGAUGUCCUUAAGAAAUUCGUCGAGGCUUUCUCCCAAGGGGGAUAUGGUGUCCUUAGAUACCAAGGUCGAUUAUUUGUUCCAAAUGUUGAUGACUUAAGGGAACAAAUUAAUUUUGACAGAAGCCCAUAGUUCGCAGUAUUCUAUUCACCCGGGAGCCACCAAGAUGUACCGUGAUUUACGGGAGGUCUAUUGGUGGAAUGUGAUGAAGAAAGAUAUUGCGGGUUUUGUGGCUAAUUUUCCAAAUUGCCAACAAGUAAAUGUUGAGCAUCAGAAACCGAGAGGUUUAUCCCAAGAUAUUAGCAUUCCUACUUGGAAGUGGGAAGACUUGAAUAUGGACUUUAUUGUUGGAUUGUCUCGCACUCGGCGACAACAUGACUCUAUUUGGGUGAUAGUAGAUCGGAUGACGAAAUCUGCUCAUUUCCUUCCUAUCAAAAUUUCCUAUUUGGCAGAGGACUAUGCAAAGUUGUAUUUGAGAGAAAUGGUAAGGUUGCAUGGAGUGCCCUUGUCCAUUAUUUCUGAUCGUGGUACCCAAUUCACUUCUCAGUUUUGGAAGUCAUUCCAAAAGGAGCUUGGCACUAAGGUUAAGCUUAGCACGAAUUUUCAUCCCCAAACUGAUGGAAAAGGGGAGAGUACUAUCUAAACUUUGAAAGACAUGUUAAGGGCAUGUGUGAUCGAUUUUAAGGGCAAUUAGGACGACCAUUUGCCAUUGAUUGAGUUUGCCUACAAUAACAGUUAUCACUCAAGAAUCAAUAUGGCUCCAUUUAAGGCCUUAUAUGGUAGGAGGUGUAGAUCUCCUAUAGGUUGGUUUCAGGUGGGUGAAGUUGCCUGAAUAGGUCCCGAAUUGGUUUAUGAAGCCAUUGAGAGAGUUUGACUCAUUAGAGAGAGGUUGAGAAUGACUCAAAGUCGGCAAAAGUCUUAUACCGAUGUGAGAAGAAGGGAUCUAGAAUUUGAGGUCGACGAUUGAGUUUAUUUGAAAAUCUCACCCAUGAAGGGUGUGAUGAGUUUUGGUAAGAAGGGGAAACUUAGUCCCCGGUAUGUAGGCUCGUAUUAGGUUUUGAGACGCGUCGGUAGGGUUGCUUAUGAGUUAGAUUUACCAAAUGAGUUGGCAAUAGUGUAUCUCGUAUUCCAUGUCUCUAUGCUUAAAAAGUGUGUUGGAAAUCAGACAUCCAUAGUUUCCCUAAAAGGGUUGGGAGUUGACAAAAGUCUUUCUUAUGAGGAGGUUCCGGUUGAGAUUUUGGACUGGCAAGUUAAGAGCUUGAGAAACAAGGAAAUAGUUUCCGUGAAGCUUUCGUGGAGGAAUCAAUUAGUGAGGGUGCUACUUGGGAGGCCGAGGCCGAAUGAUGUCCCGAUAUCCUUAUCUUUUUCCUUCUACUCCUAUUCUGGCUUGAGGUAAUGAGUUCCUCUUGAGUUGUCUUUGUUUUGGGAGUCAUGUGUUUUCAUGUGUUUCCAUGAUUUCCUUAUGAUAUGCAUGUUCAUGAAAACUUCUGUUUUGAAAGAAAAUGAGUUUAUAUGAUUGAUUUUCCUCAUGUUAUUGUGCAUUGAGUAUGAGUUGCCAAUAGACUUUAUGAGAUUAAUUGAUGAACAUGUUUUAGAUAUGCUUUUUGAGAGUGAAUUGCAUAUGAGCUCCAUGAGAUUGUGUUGAGCAUGUUUUUAGCUUGGAGAAGGUAGGUCCUCCUUGAAAAUGAGUAAUGUUGAAAUUUCAUCAUAGUGGAGUUGAUGUUUCAUUCUUAUAUAUGUGCAUUGCAUGCAUAAUGGGCUGAUAGAGUUAGUUCACCCCACUUAUGAUGUUUUGAGAACGUCCUAGCUUCGAGUCGAUAGUUCCUCCCCUACUCAUUUAGAACCAGUUUAAAUCUCAUUUGAAGACGAAUGGUCCCAAGGAGAAGAUAUUGUAACACCCCGUAUACGAAAAAGGGAAAUGAACUAGACUUUGGGAAAUUGAAGGUGCCAGCCACGAGGGCCACCCACGGCCCGUGGAUGGGACCACGGACCGUAGGUGUGGUCUAUGGAUGGCCUUGCCCAGAGUGUCCUGGAGGCUCAGGACCACGGCCUGACCUACGGACCAUAGGCCAGACCAAGGUCCAUGGUUCGAGGCCCAAAAACCAACUUUCUGAUGGCGAACCACGGUCCACCAGGACGAACCGUGGGUCAGACCACGGCUCGUUGAUUGGGGUCCGUCGGUGGCCAGCUGACAGUUAUUUUUAGGGUCGGUUAGGUCUUUUCCUAAUUAAUUAAUUCCUAUACUAUGUCAUUUUGCCUAUAUUUAGAACCCCUAUAUAAACCUUUAACCCCCAAAUUCACCCCAUUUAUUUCAUUCUUCAAAAAUCACAAAAAGAAACCAAUUCCUCUCCAAAUAUUCUCUCUCUAGAAACUUGAAGAAGACGAUGAAGAAGGACUCCUGACCUAGGGUUUCAAGAUAAGGUUCCAAUUCCUCCAUUGAAGGCUACCAAUUGGAGUCAAGGUAUGAUAGUUUUCAUCCAUGGAUUCCUUCCAUCCAUGGAGUUCCUAAAUUCCUCUAUUUCAAAUGGUAGAAUUCCCCCAAUUGAGUUAGGGUUUUCAUCAAUUAGCAUUACCUGAAAAUCAAGGGUUUUACAUCAGUUAUUGACACAAAAUAAGUAUUUGAGGACACUACUUCGAUAUAAACAAAGCCCUAAAUGAGUCCAAAUCUCGGACUCAUCAGUACGAUAGACUUUAAGGUAGAUAGCCUUCUCCCGAAAAACUAUCUCGAAUCAGGUGAUUUCUUUCGAACAUCAACAAUCAUAACAAUGAAGAACAUCCCACACCUUAAUUCAUCCACUCUUUCGAGCUAGAUGGGUAGGAUUGAGUUUAGGAUUCGCACUCUCGAGCUAAACCCAGCUCAACCCAAUACCUACAAAUCAUUAAUCAAUAAUCUUAUUUCUAAAACCUCUCUCUCGAGCAAGCCAAGAACACAAUAUUAGAACUGUAUUUUCAACUACAAUUCAUAAAUUAAACCAUAAUUAAUGAUUAAACUCACUUCAAUUUAGCAUCUAAAAUAGUAAUUAAUAAUACCCAUAAACUAAUUCAACCCAUAAUCAGAUGAUCACACCCCAAGAAUUGGGGUUUUAGACAAACAUCAUAAAAGAAUAAAAACGAUUACCGAAUCGAUUAGUCAUCAACUGGGUAAGAGUAAUUUAGUCUUUACAAUGCUUCAAUUUGCAGAAUAUUCGAAACCCACUUUCAAAAUCUCCAAAUUGGAUCUCUAAAAUUCUUCAAAACUAUGAAAAACUACAAAGAAAAGUGUUCUAAACUAAUUUAGCAUUAACCAACAUAAGUCCACUCUCUAAAAUAAUUGUUCAAAAUCUAAUUUAUAGUCGCCAAAAAUAAGUGACAAAUGGACGUUUGGCGAAGUAAGUCGGGCUCGCCGAACCACUCGGCGGACUUCCCAUUGAUCUCUUUCAUCGCCUUUUUGCCUUGGCACUCAGCAUACUCAAGUUCUGUAACUUUGGGCGAUCUCUCUUUGCAUCGCGGAACUGCUCAACGAUUCGCUGACUACUCUUUUUUGUCGCCGACUUGGUUUCUUCCCUCAAGGCUGGCACACUAGAACUUUAGGCGGUCAAGCUAGCCACUCGGUGAUUCGCCAAGUGCUCUUGGCGAUCACCAGGCUUGCCUGUUGACACCCAAUUUUGGCUCCAACCAUUUGUUUAACUAAAGUUUUAAUAAUAAUAAUAAUAAUAAUAAUAAUAAUAAUAAUAAUAAUAAUAAUAAUAAUAAUAAUAAUAAUAAUAAUAAUAAUAAUAAUAAUAAUAAUAAUAAUAAUAAUAAUAAUAAUAAUAAUAAUAAUAAAAUUAAAUAUAUUAUAUAAAUAUUACUACUUACUUUCUCAUUUUUAAACUUCACGUCAAAUAAAUAUUGUUUUAAGGGUUAACUCGAUUUUUCUAAUUAAAUAUAAUUUCUAUUAUUGCGAUAAAUAUUUUUUUUUGACAUUUUAAAAUUAAGAAGGCUAAUUAAUUAAUAAGUUACCAAUUUAUAUUAAUUUUAUUUUUAGAAUGAAUAAUUUUAUCAAAUAAGCUAGUCUUGCAAAAUAUUUUUUUUUUAAAAUUAUGGCUAUUUAAUAAAGAAGAGGUUAUAAUUUAAAUGAAGUUAAUUUGAUCAAAUUUGGCAAUCCAAGUCAUUUUAAUUUGGCCAAUCCACGUGUGCCACAUAAGAAGCACAUGGAUUGUUCUUCUUCAGAUUCGAUCUCAACCGUCCAAUUUAAUAUAAGGGCCCAAUUUAAUUCAGCAUUUUUCUAUAUAUAUAUAUAAUAUAAUAUUUAUUUAAUUAUUCAACUAUAGAUUAAUUUUGACCGUCCGAUCAAACGAUCAGACGACCCAAAAUGAGUAAGACUCUUCCUUCUCCCAAAAGACACGUAUCGUCCCCUAUACUCUAGAUCAACAUUGAAUUUUCCUUCUUCCCCAUACCCCUUACGCGUUUUCUUCUUCCACAGACAUAACGUCUUCUCCAUGACCGCCCAUGCUCGUUCCUCAGACCCCUACACUAGUUGUGUCUUCUCCAUAGACGCCUAUACCGCCCCAAGCUCCUCUCCCAUCACCUCCUAUGGCCGCACCCACAUGCUCUCCCAUCCCCUCUAUUAGAGAAACGACUCUGGCCGCCGGAAAAAUGCCCCAUCACUCACUCAACCCUCACAAAUCGACCUGAAAAGGUGGAUUCUUGAGAGAUUUUUCUUCUCCUUCAUGAUUUCUUCGCUGUUUCCUCUGAUAUUUGCGUUUCCAAGAAUUCAAAUUUUGAAUUCUUGGAGCACAAAUCGACUAUAAAAGGAUGGACUUCGGGUCUCAACAAAACAUCCAAGAAUCAACUGAAAAAAUCCAAAAACGAACGGAAAUGAUCGAACAACAAUCCAGAAAUCGAACAACAUUUGAACAACACCAACAAAGGUCCGGAAAUCAUCUAGGAAACAGAUUUUAAGGUUAUUAACCUUUGUUCUCUGUUUCCGUUUUACUGCUUUGAGUUGAAGAGGAAGUUCGUAGUUGAAUUCUUGACGUCAAAGCCUUAGUUUGCAGCUCCAAGAAAGGUAAUUUCGUCUCCUCUUACAUUCUUUUUUCGAUGCGGCGUGCUAUGUGUUCAACACUUUUAUAGAAUCUAUUAUUACGUGUAUCUGAUUCCCCUGUCUUAGUCCUUACUUUAAUUUCGUCUUCUUGUAUGUCUAUGGGAAGUAGGUGUGAGUCAAGAAUUAGUGGAGUUGUUUGAAUGUUACGUGUUGGUUAUUAUUUCAUUAACUUGAUUUUGUAUCCAUAUACAACUAGCUGAAUCUAUCCUCUGUUUUGCUUGCAAUAGUUUGAUGCUCACUUAGUCUCCACUUUGAGUGUACUAAUUGCGUAGCUCUGUUUCAUCACUGUUUGUUUGAAUCAUAACUGGAAUGCUGGACGUGUUUCUCUUGUAUAUUAGCUGCUCAUAUCUUUAAUGUAAACUCGAGUUAGAAUCGGCUUAGAAAGCAUAAGACAUGUUCAUAUUGCUACUUUCGAGUUCUGCAACACGCGUUUAGCCUGCUUUAUAUUACUCGCUGCUGCUAAGUGAUAUCCAUGUUUAGGCUGAUGUGUUGCACCUUAGAUAUUUCAUAAGUUAUCUUGUUGUUUCGCAAGUCAUAUUUCAUUUAAAUUUUGAGGAGUCUUGAUUCUAAGUUUUGUUUACUCCUUCUUGUAUAACCAAACUUUGCCUAAAUAAUCAUUUUCUAAGUAUAAAUGAGCCAUUUCGAACUCUUAAGAUCAGUUCUUCCUGAUCUACUUUCCCCAUUCGUGUUUCGUCUUCUCUGGAUAUAUAUUUUUUCUUUCUGCUAUUUAAUGUUGUUAGUCAGGUUGACUCAUUAUGUUUGAAGGUUCCUAGCUCCUGUCAUUCUCUGAUUUAUGCCUGUUUUGGGGUAAUCAACUCGACUGAACCUAUACUUUUAUUGCAAAAUGCAUAAUCAUCAAGUUUAAGCAUAUAAAAUAAUUUAUAUGAACCAAAAUACAUAUCGAUGGCAGACAUAUUUUGUGUAUGUGUGUUAGAAAGACAGCAUUUUAUUCAUAAAUGUAAGACAAAAUCUAUCUUGAUCAUAGAAUAGGCAUGAUCUGUUGGUUGUUUGGAAUUUUUUUGAAGCCUAAGGUGUAUCAUUUACCUCUUGAGAGAUCAACAUGCAUAGCUUCAAAUUAACUUAACUUUGGAUUAGUUAUUCACCAAAAUGAUCAGAUUCAAGAGCCUUACACUUGUUGUCUUUUUACGUUAUAGUAGUGGUGUAACUCAUUCUAUUCCCAUGAGAACUCUUAUUUCACACAAGUAAUAAUUGCACUUUGGUUAAUCUUUUACAUAUCUCUCUAAAGGAGUUUGUGAACCAGGUUGUGCUGCUUUAUAAUAAGCAGAACAGUAGCACUGCAUCUUUUGACAAAAUAUUAAAGCUACUAUCUAUUAGGACGUGCUUAUUGUUUAAUUCUAAUCUUUUACGCUUAAGGUUGAUCAAUGUCUAUUUUUAAGCAUGAUCAGCAACCAAUUGUGAAAUCAUUGUAAAACUCGCACAACGAUACAACUAUCCAACUAAUAUUUAUAUGCUCGCUUGAAUGAUAUCUUAAAGCCAAUCAGCAACUCUCUAGAUUGAUUAAAGUUCGGUAUACUAAUUGCUUAAAUGUCAUCAAGAAACUGCCAGGAUAGUAUCAUGCUGAUGUUGUUGUUUCGGAGUAUAUUUUCUAAUAUGCCUAUGACUACAUGAUUCUUAUUUUUUAUGUGUUCUGAUAAAUCCAAAGUCCACUUGCUAAUUCUACUUCUUCUUUGUUUGUCACAUGUACACUCGGGAGUGCGUUUGGAGUUAGUAUAUAACUCCAUCUCUGUCCAAAUCAGAGAAGCGACAGAUAGCCGCAUAAGCUCGUGUCUAGCAGCCUUUAUCGAGUCAAAUAGUGUCCAACACUUCCUCUUUGCUCCGAAGUUUCAUAGUUUCUUACAUAUACAUACGCUUAUAGUGUUGUCUUUCGACUAACAUCUUACACAUUAGUAUUUCACUCUUAUAUAAGCUUGCUUUUAUUUUGUUUGGGUUUGUACGAAUCAACUUAGAACGAUGGUAAGACGUAGCUUCCCACCUCGCAUCCCUUUAGAUAUUGGGUUUAGUAUAGUCCCUUAGCUUAUAAGCAUUACUUUCUAGUUAAGUUUUAUUUGUUACUAAAUAUUUUUAGUCAUGAAAACACAACCUCACAAAGAAAUUCAACUUAGGAAUAAUGUUUUUUUCCCAAAUAUUGUGAACUUAUUUUCAGAUUCUUUUCAUAAACAAGUGUUUAAAGUGUGGUUUUUGGUAGCCUAAAAUGCAGACUUUAAAGUUGAGCGAACUGCAGAUUGUUUUAAGGUUAAUGAUAUCACUUUCUUAAGAGUUUAAGAGUGGUAUUUUGAGCCCCAAAAAUGCAUCAUUUUGAGCUCAAAAGAGUGCAGAAUUUGAGCUCAAAAUGUGCAUAAUUUGAGCAUAAAAGAUGCAGAUAUUUUUUGGUAAAAAAUGAAGAUUUUUAGCUUUAAAAUUGCAGAUUUUUUUUUAGUGUGAAAAUGUGGCUUUAACAUGCUCUACUAAGCAGAUUUUUUUAGUGUAAAACUGCAGGUUUUUUUUGAGGCUCAAAACACAACCAUUUUGUGGGCUUUAAAGUGUAAAAUUUAAGUUUAAAAAUGCAGUUUCUAAGAGGUAAAAACUGCAGCUUUUUAACAACUUCACUUUGCAGAUUUUCCAAGUAUAAAAUGUGCAACUUUCCUUAGCUUAAAUGUCACAUCCCUAACUAGAAAGGGGAAGACAUCUAGGAUAUACACAAGCACCUACUAAAGAUCUUACUAAUCUCAUGCCAAAGCUGUAGAUUCAUAAGCAACGGAACAUAUAUGAAGACACAUACUAAAACAAAGAUAACUAAAGGGCACGUUGGGCUACUUUACAACGGAAGCAAGACUAAGUCUACGAAGCCUCUAAAGAGUAUGCCUCUGAGAAUAUGAUAACUAGUCGGGACAGGGCCCCGACAUACCCAUUCUGAUAUAUGUACAUACGUAGCAAAAUAUAGGCUCUAAAUAUCUGAUAGCUCCAGGUAGAGGUGGAGCUUACCAACUGCUAAACUGGAAGUCUCUAGUCUACUGAAAUUGCUUGAUGUCUUGAGUACCUGAGCCUUAAUUCGGGACUUACUAUCUUACGUUGUCAAACUCCUUUGCUGAAAACUUUAUCUAUAUAUCAAAGAAAAGCAGCCCCUGCCCUUCUUUAUUCUCCAAGAACAAUACUUUUUCCUUUAGCUUUGGUGGAUUGAAGAUGAGAAAAACUUGAAUAAAUAGCUUGAAACCAGUCCUUACACGUUCUUGAGUAUAUGAGAAAGUAUAUCCCAAACUUCUAAUAUAAAAACAACAAGUUUGGCCAACUUUCUCUAAAGUGCCACAUGUCCCGCAGUGAUUAGGCAGAGCGCGCGUCUGUCGUAGAAUGAACAUAACUUUUUACUCCGAUAUCGUUUUAACGAGAGGUUUGUUUUGCUGGAAACUAGACUCAAAUACCUUCAAUUGGAUAGGUUGUAGGCCUUCUAACUCGUUAUAUAUUAGGAGAUAUGCAUCGUUCAAAGUCAGAUCAGAAAUGAGAUCAUUUGUAGUAUUCCUCUACAAUGAACCUUUAAACUUUAAUCUUUUCUUUAAUGAUCUCUUUGACCUAAAACUUUUGUUUAACCCUUAAAAUGACUAAAAACAAAGGUUACAUGGUAUACUUAAACCAUUUUCAAUGAUAUACCUCCCCCGAUAUCACAUCUAUGCAUUGGUGGUUACGAGUCGCAAAUGUAUCUUAAGUUACGGGAUAUUACAUUAAAGCCUAUUUCUUUUAGGACCUAAAGGUGCAUACUUUGAAACUAAAACGAUAUAGUUUGAGAGAUUAAAAGUGCACUAUCUUAAGAGGGUAAAACAAGUACUAUAGUUUUUGUUAGAAUUGUUGUUCUUUUAGUUUUGAAACAUACAUACGGCUCAAGUUAUUUGCUCCGAGAAGGACCAAAAUAUUUAGUAGCUUUAUUUAUCAAAUCUCACUUAGGACUUUAUGUUAAGAAAACUUAUCAUUUAAAAACUCCCAAAAUGACUUUUAGAUUAGUUUAAAGGCUAAAGUAAUUACCUUUUAGGAAAUAUAUAUAUUUUUUAGAAAAUAAGUAGGGAAGUAGGCUUAUUUAAUUAACAAAAAAAAGUAACUAUAGAAUAAAUCUCAAUAGCUAAGCCUAUCUUAUAUUCUUGACAUCACACCCUUUACAAAAUAUUGACUAUUCUUACUUUAAAAAAAAAAAUCAAUUAUUGCUAAACCAUUUUAAUUUCUUAAAAUGUUAUUUCAAUAUUUUAGAUAUGCCAAUAGGUUCAAAAUACAAGGUACAUACAUAUAUAUGUCAUAUGCAAAAAGUUACAAAUCCUAUAUUUUUUUAGUUUUCUCUAUAUAUAACUUAUUAUUUUGUUACACUUCAUAUUAUUUUUUCUCAUAUCUACUAUCACUUCUACAAAUGUUACUUAUUUUUUUAAUUCCUACACUUUAAAAUAUACAUUAUUUUACUACAUAUUUACACCCGAUUAAUAUCUCAUGUUAUUUUUUUAUUUUCUUUCAUGUCUUAAUUCUAUAUAUAAAUAAAAUGACAAAUUUUCAUAUCUUUUAAACUCAAUAUUUAUUUUUGAUACAUUUAUAUAAGGCACCUCUAUAUUCUUCAACAUAUAAAAUUGUCGUACAUUUUUAGUGCAUUUAUUUAUUUAUUACCAUAUGAUAAACAUACUACUAUCAAUUUUAUUUAAUAGACAUAUAUAUGUCGUACCUUGUAUUUUAAUCUUUUUCUUAAACUAAUAAAAUUUACUUACCAUUGAUUUUAAAGCAAAUAAAUAAACAAGUUUUCCUAAUUAUAUUUUCCUAAAUUGAGUUUAAGGACUAUCUUCGGAUAGGGUUUGAGGGAUGCUUAAUACCUUCCCCUCGAGUAACCAAAACCUUUAUUCAUAAUCUCACUAGUUUGGCAAAUCAAAACAGAGUUUACAUUUACAUAUUUAAAAAAAGGUUUUCCUAAUAUUUUCCUUAAAAUUUAGGUGGCGACUCUAAAACAAAAAUAUAUUUUUUCAAAAUUAGAGUGUCAGCCAUAUUUUGUUGUGAACUGUUUCGGCUAGUUCGGAAUAGGGGUGUGACAUUGCCUUUCUUCAUUUCAUCAGUUUGUUUUGUUCCUUUUUGCCUGUUAGUGUCCUUGCUUUGUUCCUCAAUCCAUAUACCUGAAAAUAAAGGAUUUAACAUCAGUUUAUGGCACAAAUUAAGCAUUUGAGGACACUAAAUCUAUAUAAACAAAGCCCCAAAUGAGUCCAAAUCUCAGACUCAUCAACACCCCCAACUUAAACUUUUUCUUGUCAUAAAGUAAAACUCAAGAUCAGGCAGUUCAAAAAGGGAUGUCUCAAAUAGUGCUGCAUACCACUCAACAUUAAUGCACACAACAAGGCUUAACUUACUCAUGCAAUGAUCAAUUGUGCACUCAAAGAUUCAAAUUGUAACUCACCGUUAUCAAAGAUGCUCAAGUUCACAAUAUUUGCUUCACAUACAAGUUCAAGCUCAACAAAAGUACUCAAAUGCCCUUACAACAAAGAUGAUUCCCUAUUCACACAAAGUUCUUCAACAAUUUAUAGUUCUGGGAUCACAUACGACUCUCACACUCACAAAGAUGAACACAUGCAUGGCUUCACCCAUAGGUUUCCCCUUAUUUUCCAAUCAACAAUUGUUUCAGCUCACUCAAGAUCACAAAAAUCUUUUCAAGGCUUGUAACGGGGAUGAGUGUAAAGGUAUGGUCAUUUAGGCUUAGUGGUUGCUAUUCUCAUGAAGUGUGGUCUCCACAUCACUUUCUUCCUUUUCUUUAACAUUUUGAUCAUGCUCCUAAUUCACCCCAUUAUUCAACUUCAAAUGAACUACCGGAUACCCCAUUUCUUUUGCAACUUCCACUACUUUAUUUCACAAUUUGUUUUCAUUCUUUUUCUUCUGCUUUCUUCUUUUAUUUUUUUUACAUGAAGGGGUUCUAUCUUUUUCAAAACCAUUGCUCAAAGGUGGAAUUUCUCACACUUCUUGAUUUCCCUUCUCUUUUCACCACACCCCAACUUAGGCUUUUGGACUAAGUUGACUAUUAAAACAAACCACACUUCAUGAGAGAUAUGGGUGAAUGGAUAAAGAGGGGUGACAAUUGUUCAAGUUUCUUCCAAGAAAAGGAUAAGACUCAAGAGUGUUCAAGAAAGGUUCACACAUCUCACAACGUUGGCCACAAAAGAGGUAUAUUGUCAAAUUGUUUCACUCUUCAAAAUUGUUGCCUAAGAUCAUUUCAAGUGCUUGUGCAUCACUUAGUCAACUGGACCAAUGAGGCAAAUUCUAGGUGUCAUCAUACACAAUGUUCAAGGUAAUCUCAUCACACAAGGCAUUGGCACCAAUAUCAAACAAGACUCCACACUUUCUAGCUAGUGUGCAAUGUUCAUCACAAGAGAUUCAUUCGAUUACCGGCUAGUCACAACGAGAUGCUAAAGGUUCACGCAAUGUCUAUGCAACUUCAUUUGUCCUCAUCGUAGCCGCACAUUCAUUUUGUUCAAUUAAUAACACUAUUCAAGUCAUCGAUAUUGAUCAUAACCGAUACUCAAAUUUGCACAAGAACAACCACAAUCACAGACAAUUGAGGUGGCACAAAAUAUUAAAAUAGGUCAAAACCAUUUCCAUAAAAAAAAAAGGAGCCACAAGCUCAAGCAUCCACAAGAUUAAGAUCCAUACACAAUCAAACACAAAUAUAGAUUGCAAAAACCCAAUUUAUACAAAUAAAAUGUAAUCACAAAAGGUAGCUAUGGAAAUACCUCACCCCACCCACAAAAGAAAAAAAGUUGUCGUCAAAUGCAACUAAAAUAAAGAUAAUCAACAAAAACAAUAGAGAGGGAGGUAAAGAUGUCAUCUUACCAGGAUAAGCCUAGGGUAAAGUCUGCAUCGUAGUCACUCCAUCUGUCUGGAUAUCAGUGCUCGGGGUCACAAUCUGGGGUUGGGCAUUAGUGCCCGAUGUAACAUCAACACUUGGUUACAAAUGUUACUUAUUUUUUUUUAAUCCCUACAGUUUAAUAUACACAUUAUUUUACUACAUAUUUACACUCGGUUACUAUCUCAUUUUAUUUUUUUUUAAUUUUCUUUCAUGUCUUACUUCUAUAUAUAAAUAAAAUGAAAUUUUUUCAUAUCUUUUAAAUUCAAUAUUUAUUUUUGAUACAUUUAUAUAAGACACCUCUAUAUUCUUCAACAUAUAAAAUUGUCAUACAUUUUUAGUACAUUUAUUUAUUACCGUAUGAUAAACAUACAACUAUUAAUUUUAUUUAAUAGACAUAUAUAUGUCGUACCUUGUAUUUUACUCUUUUUCUUAAGCUAAUAAAAUUUACUUACCAUUGAUUUUAAAGCAAAUAAAUAAACAAGUUUUUCUAAUUAUAUUUUUCUAAUUUGAGUUUAAGGACUAUCUUCGGAUAGGCUCUGAGGGAUGCUUAAACCUUCCCCUCGAGUAACCCAAACCCUUAUUCAGAAUUUCACUAGUUUCGCAAAUCAAAACAGAGUUUACAUUUACAUAUUUAAAAAAGGUUUCCUAAUAUUUCCUUAAAUUUAGGUGGCAACUCUAAAACAAUUUUUUUUUUUCUAAAAUCAGAGUGUUAGCCAUAUUAUGUUGUGAACUGUUUCUGCUAGUUCGAAAUAGGGGGUCGACAACUUGGCGACUUUGCUGGGAAACUUACUUAGGUUUUAACCUUAGAAAACUUAAUUUAGGAAUAAAUUUUGUGAUUACUUGUUUAUUUUCAGCUUAUUAUUUGCUUUGUUGAAAUGAUAUAUUGUUUUGACUGAAAGGUCACAAGUUAAAUCCAAGCCUGUGUUCCUUAUUUGUUCUAAAACACUACUUGUUUUUGCUUCCCUACACUGUCAUUUGCACUUUCUGUAGAGUCUUUGGUCGUACACAAACACACACACUAUACACGCGAGGGGUGUUCCUAUACUCCUCUAAAAUUCUCUUUGGAUUCCUUAGUUUCAGAGUUGGUGCAAUUAAGAUAGUGCGCAUUCUCGCAAUUACUCAGUCCCACUCUCAAUCAUCUAGGGAAAAAAAAUCCUACUCUUGAAAUAACUCUUGUUGCAUAGCCUAAGGAAAGACAAUAUAAGGUAUUGUCAUUGCAUUUAGGAAACCACUCAAAUGUCAAUGAGUUUCUUCUUUAAAACUCGAAGACAUAAACUUUGUGUGAAAUUGAUAUAAAUUAUCCAAACUAAAACACUUAACGGAUUUGGAGCAAAUAACUCAUCAUACCCUUUUAUCUUUCUUUCAGAUGCAAAUCAACCAAAACCUUCCUAAUAUCAGGAUGAUGACUGAGGUCCCCCGAACUUUGAAAGAGUGGUGGGGAAACAUCCGAGUGGCAUACGGAAAUGAGAUUAUGCCACACCUGCGGUCAUUAACUGAUCUAUUGAAUGUGGAGGCAAACAAGUCACUCAUUACUCUAAUGAUUGAAUUUUGGCAACCAGCAACAAUGACUUUCCAGUUCGCAGAUUUUGAAAUCACACCAACACUGGAAGAGAUAAGUCAAAUUGCUUAUUUACCGUUGGCUGGCAGAGAACCCUUGGCCCCGCGCACUACAUCGGGAAUUAGUUUUCUCCAGUCUUUGGGUUUGAGGGUAGGCCCAUGUUUGUGAAAAGCUGACAAGGGAUGGGUCAAGUUGGAUUAUCUGUUUAAAAGGGUUUGUCAUCGAGAUAGCUAUGAUAAGUUCCAGCAAGAAUUCUUCAUCUCUAGAGUUGUUUGGGAAAGGCACAAGGCUAUUUUUUCGUGAUGGCCUUUUUGGGUAUUAUGAUCUUCCCAAAGAAAAAAGGUUGUGUUGAUAUCAACCUACUACCUAUGGUCAUCUUCAUGUUUAGGGGACCUGUUACAGUGACCAGCGUACCCAUGACCGUGACAUAAAUAUUUCGAUCACUAUCCCUCUGCUCUAGAGGAUAUGAUCACUUUAAGGGAAGUAACCUUUUGUUACAGAUUUGGGUGUUGGAACACUUCUAUCAAAGAUAAGCAGAAAAUGACACUGAAGCAGACUUACACAACAAAAUUAGGAGCCAUGCGAUGAGAUUGAGCACGUGGGAUUCCCCAAAUAAUGAAGAAGGUUGGCGUCUUUUCCUGACCCACCUCACAGGGAACCGUAUUCAAUGGCGACUACCAUGGGUCCAUGGACUAGCUUUGUUGAGAGCUAACCAGGCCUAUUUCAUUGAGUUGAUUGGGUUGGAAGGCUUCCAGCCUUAUGCACCUCUAAGAGUCCUCCGAUAGUUUGGGAUUACCCAAGGCAUUCCCUCUAAUGGGUCAAAAUAUGGCAUUAUAGAGGUCGAUUAUGAAGGAAGAAUCCCGAUCGAAAGGAUCGCUGCUUUGGUACAAUGAUGGUGUGAUAUUCUCGACUCAGACAUGGGGGUUGAGUCAUGGUGCACGCCUGAAUAUUAUACUUGGUUUAUGAUGGGAGAAAUUCUCGCAAGACCUAGCUAUGAGGGAAUCUUGGAGUUCACAGACACUCAAAGAUCAAAUCAAAUUGGCACGGAGCUAUUGAACCUCAUGCACAUCACUAAAACCAUGUAUCAUAAGGUGACCCCAUGAUUUGUCGACCAUCUCAUACAGGUAGUUGAUGAUGAACCAAAUGAAGAAAUGGAGGAAGACCUAGAAGAGGAUCCUAGAGAGUUAACUGAGGAGAUGGAAGGGGAUUCAGAAGGAUAUUUAGAGCAUGACCCAAAAUUGUAUGACCCUGGAGAUGGAGGAGUGAUGAAUAUGGAGGAUGAACCUGUCCCAAUAGUAGAAGUCGCUCACUCGGAAUAUGGUUCUAUAGGGUUUGAUGAAAGGGAAGAUUCAAACAAUUGGGAAUAGAAGAUCGACGAAUCCCCAGAGUACCACCCAGGGCCAUUUUAUGAUAGGGAUGAUGACAGUGAUGAUGCCGUAGGUCGUCUUUCUUUUUCGAGCUCUCUCCUCAAAGUGCCGUAUGGCCUAUCCCUCUUAUAUACCCUAUGGCCACCCCCGUACUUUCAUUUCUUAGGCUUCUAAUCGCCUACCUCAAUAUACAUCCAAGACUACCUUAAUCAAUGAAGUUAUGUAUGCUCCAAAUUUAAAAUGUGUUUAAAUGGAUCAUUUAUCAUCAAACUAAUUGCAAUGUAGGCCUACCUCAACCAAAAAUAGGCUCUAUAUUAGGACGCGUUUUGAAUGUCGCCAAAUUGGAGUAUAUAUGUGUUACACUUACAUAUUUGUUACAUAUUUCAAUAUUGCCCAAACUAACAUAGUUUUCUCUUUUACUUUGUUUUCUCUUUUUCUUUGUUUUCUUUUCUUUUUCAUCAUUUAUCCCCUAAAGAACGUUGAUUUUUGUGGACUUUAAAACUGGCUGACUCACGAUACAACCUCCGAUCCAAAGGGAAGAUGACUGAUAGAGACGAGUUCAACGCUGUUGCAAACAUAAUGAUACCUAUUGAGAACCCCGUAGGUUCUCGAAACAUGACAGACAUCCAAAAUGAAGAGAAAAUGGCUCGCAUGGAGCAAGAACUCAAGAUCUUGAGGGAAGAAUUAUGCCAACUGCGAGACUUGGCCAAACUGUCGGCUACCACUUUCCCUACUUUCAAGACGCCUAUCUACUUCGCAAAGGCUGACUUGCCUUCUGCCGACUUGCCAAAUCAUCCAGAACAAAAUCAAGAGCACAUGGUCAAGUUCCACCAGCCUCUCCAACCGCAGUUUGGACCAUUCUUGACCUCUCUAAUCGCGAUCCUACCGUACCUACAAUGCAGCAAAUACUUGGGGCACAUGUCGCCGCUCCCUAUGAGCCACUUGUUCCACCUAUAUAUACCGCUGAAGCUCCUACCUUCACAACGCCAGUUGUGGUUAAUAUCCCGUACGAAGUUGAUCAAUAUGCAGAAAUGGAGAAAGAUGCCUAGCUAAAAGAAGAUGCAUCGAUAAAUGCCCAAUUUCAUGGUCUAAAAAAAGUGUUGAAAAUCUUACAAGUCACUAGAGGAAUAGAGAGUCUGGAUUAUGAUAACUUGUGCAUCCAGCCAGACAUUGACAUGCCGGUAGGGUACAAACCACCAAAGUUUGACAUUUUUUAUGGAAAAGGUGACCCUCACGUGCAUUUAAGGGCAUAUUGUGACAAGUUAGAUAAUGUAGGGAGAAAUGAGAAGCUGAGGAUGAAGUUUUUCAUCCGGAGUCUAUCUGGAGAAGCAUUGGCCUGGUAUACGCGCCAAGAUCCUCGAAAGUGGGGUGACUGGUAGGAAAUGGUUGAAGAUUUCACGAAUUGUAUUAGAUUCAAUACUGAAAUUACAGCUGACAAAUUCUUAUUGGCCAACAUACAAAAGAAACAAUCAGAGAAUUUCCAGGAGUACGCACGACGUUGGAGAACUGAAGUCGCAAGGGUGCAACCACCACUAUAUGAGAGUGAGCUCUCGAAGGACUUUAUUCGAGCUCAAGAAGGUGUCUACUUUGACAAGAUGAUGUCAAUGAUGGGCCAGAAGUUUGCAAAAUUGGUCAAGAUGGGGGAAUUUAUUGAGGAGGGUGUUAAAUGUGGAAAGAUUCAGUCUAUGGUCGCAUUACAAGUUGCAAGUAGGGCUAUACAAUCGGGCUCCAUUAGCGGCAUCUAAAGGAAAAUGGAGGAUGUUUCAACUGUCACUUACCAACAAGGAGGACUAUCCCACUGAUACUCCAACAAUCCCAAGAUUGUUGCACAGACUUCAUACGUCCCAUACCGAGUAUAUAAUACCCAACUCCACUAUAAUCCAUCCCGAGCACCAGCAUACCAUAAUCCACCAAAAUAGACCAACUUAUGCACCGAGGCCACGUUCGAAUCUCAAGGCUAGAAAUGCUCGCGUUUACACACCUAUUACUGAACCUUAUGCCCAAUUGUUUGAGAGGUUGAGGACAACAGAAGUGUUGCAACCAGUUGAAGGAAAAAUUCUCGAUCCAAUCCCUCAUAACUUCGAUGGAAACAAGCGAUGCGCUUACCACUCGGGAAUUCAAGGACAUGACACAAAAGAUUGUUAUGGUUUGAAGAACCAAAUCGAGUCUUUGAUCAAAAGAGGAGUAAUCAAAUGCAAUCCAGUACCUCCCAAUGUAAACAACAAUCCCUUUCCAAACCAUGAGAAUCGGGAGGUCAACAUGGUUACUCUAGAUGACAAAUAUGAGGGUCCCGACUACCCAAACAUAGAUGAAGCAGAUAUCAUGAUAUCUUCAGUGCAACCUGUUAUCGCUAUUCAACUAAGGGAACCUCUGAGCAUCCAAACAUAUCUCCUAAGAGUUGUAGUGACCACUCUAAUCGCCGAAAAUUCUGAGUACGACACCAAAGCAGUCCCAUGGGACUAUCAAGUAGGCGCCAAGGGCAAGAUGAUUGACACUGUCGUGGCUCAAGGAAUUACUAGGUCGGGAAUGUGUUAUUCCCUAGAGGACCUAAAUCAAACAGUUCUUGGAAAAGAACAUAAUCCAAAUAAGAAUGUUACCGAUGCUAAAGCCACAUAGUUUUGGAAGAAGAUGCAAUCUAAAUACUAUUCAGUCGAAGAGCAACUGAAGAAGACGUCAGCCCACAUAUCCAUUUGGUGUUUGGUUAUGAGUUCUGAAGGUCAUAUGAAUGCUUUGAUGGAGGUGUUAAGAGGAGUAAACAAUCCAAAAGAGACCACAAGUGAAACCUUAGUUGCAAUGAUUGGGAGAAUAGUGGAAGCUAACAAGAUUUCUUUCCAUGAUGAUGAGUUACCUGCAGAAGGGGCUGGGCACAACAAAGCGCUUCACAUCGUAGUCAAAUGUUUUGAUAAGAUUGUGACUCAAGUUUUAAUUGAUGGUGGUUCUGGAUGCAACUUCUGUCCUUUCACCACUCUGAGAGAUUUAGGCGUUAAUAUGAGAGAGAUAAGGGAAAGCCGUGUGAAAGUUAGAGGUUUUGAUGGAGCACAGAAAAGUGUCAUUGGAGAGAUCUCUCACAUUACAGGUGGGGCCAGCUGAAUUCCCCAUUCUAUUUCAAGUGAUGGAUGUAUCAUCCAACUACAACCUGUUGUUGGGAAGACCAUGGGUUGACAUGGCGAGAGCGGUUCCUUCCACUUUUCAUCAAUGUGUAAUGUUUGAGUGGGGUCGCACAGAAGUUACCAUCUACGGGGAGCUCAGUCACCCCAUCAUUUCUGUUAAUUCUAUCCCAGUCACUGAUGAGUUAGAUGGAACCACUUUUCACACUUUGGAAAUCAUGAAAGUUGUAAGGGUUAAUGAGGAAGCAGAGCCCGAGGAUAUCAAAUUGUCAAGUGCAGCAAAAAUUGUUGCGUCAGAAAUGUUGAAGUAUGGGUAUCAGCCAAAGAGUGGAGUUGGACAAAAGUCCAAUGGCAUAGUUGAGCCAAUCCAGCUGAAGCAUCAGAGAGGCAACAAUGGACUCGGAUAUGAGACUACCUUGGGAAGAGUCCAGCACGGGUCAAGCAAGACAAUUUUUGUACUAGAACAAGCUUUGAUUCCAGAUCAAGCUGGCAUUGAUGAAAUUGUAGAAGGAAUAGGUAAUCUAUUCGUGGCUACGGCUGGAGAAGAGGAAGAAAUAAAUCUCAACAAAUUGACCAUUCGUGAUGCCGAACCUGGAGAAAUCUUGUAGAACUGGACCAUCAGUCCGUCCCUGUUUCAACCAGAGUCCUGGUAGUGUGGAAAUGUAGUUUUGAUUUUAAAAUUCGCAUGAUCAAAUUGAGGGUUGAAUCAUGCCUAGUCUUUUGUUGUUUGCCUCUUCUAAAAGCUAGAAUGCUUUGAAAAUAAAAAAGUCUUUGUUUUUCAUUAAAAAAUUUCUCGUUAUUUUAAAUAUCUAUUUAUUUUAACUUACCUUUUGCACUUUUCAGCACUUAUAUUAAUAAAAAUUCCCGUUCAAUGGUUAUGACAUGUAACGAAUCCACCGAGCGAGGUGAAAGUGAUGAACAAGAUCACGAAGUGUAUUGUGAAAACAUAAUGCCUGAAAAUCUACCACAUGAGAUCAAGCAAGUUGAAAGCCAGAAGAAACAAAAUAUGGAUGAAACAGAGGUUGUCAACUUAGGAGAUGAGGAGAUCGUGAAGGAAACACGAGUAAGCAUACAUUUGGAGGCCGAAAGAAAGCAAGAGUUAAUACAGUUGCUUAAGCAGUACGUGACAUAUUUUCUUGGUCUUAUGAUGCCGUUGCCAUGAUUAAGCACUGAUAGUGUCUCGCACAAAUUACCAACUGAUCCUACUUGUCUACUAGUUAAACAAAAGACAACAAAGUUCAAGCCAAAUUUGAGUUUGAGGAUCAAGGAGCAGUAAUCUUAGCAGAAAUGGAUAGCAGAGUGAGCACAAAGCCAAUCAAUUCAGACGCCAUCAAGAAUACUACAUCUGAAGACCUCAAGAUUAGCGCUUAUUUUUUGUACUUUUGCAUUUUGAUGUAACAGAAUUACGUCUAGACCUAACUUCCCAUGGUGGGGUACGUAGGCAACCCACAUCGGAUCCGAUCUCCCUUAAAAAACCUAAAAUCAUUAUUUCCAUGUAUUUAGAACUACGCUCGACCUGAAUUCCCUCGGUGGGAUAUGUAGGCAAUCCUUAUCGGAUUCGGUCCCUUGCAUUUUUCUCUUCCCUAUUGUAAUUUGAACUACGUCCUGACCUGAUUCCGCUUGGAUACGUAGGCAGAUUGAGUCAUGCCCGGUCAUUGCAUUUCAUAUUUUUCACUUUCCUAUUGUAUCUGAACUACGUCCUGACCUGAUUCCGCUUGGAUACGUAGGCAGCCUAAGUCAGGCCCGGUCAUUUCAUUUCAUAUUUUUCACUUUCCUAUUGUAUCAAACUACGUUACGACCUGAUUCCACUUGGAUACAUAGGCAACUUGAGUCAAGCUCGGUCAUUGCAUUAUAGACUUCUAUUUCUCUCACUUAUAUUCGAACUACGUUAUGAUUUGAUUCCUACUUUGGGGAUACGUAGACAGCCUGAGUUAGGCUCGAUCAAUUCUCUGCAUAAUUUCCAUUUUUUUUCUUACCCUUAGGAAACACUUCCUCAUAGUUAGCGUAACCUCAGAAUUUGAAGAAUCUCGAUCGUCGCAAUGUCUGCAAAAGAGCUAGGGAAGCUUCACCAGGAGGGUAAAAGCAAGAAGACUAUGCUGGAUAUAGUCAACAAAAUGGAAAGCUAGAUGGACUUCAGAAUAUGUCAUAAUAUAAAAAUGUUGGAGAAUUACUAUAUAUAUAUAUAUAUAUAUAUAAAUAUACACAUAAUAUAUACGUAGUAUACUUAUUUUCUAGAAAAACAAGCGAAUUUUUUUCAAAAAGAUUUUUUCUACUCUUCCACCUACCUAGUCUCUAGGUUAAGAAACUACAUACGGGAUAAGAAGACGUAGAAGGAUUCUAAUGACGAGGCUUCAGUCCGCGAGUCGAUACAAAUCAACAACCCCUCCCAAACUAAAAAUUUCUUUGAGUGCAGGAACACAAGAAUCAAAAAAAUAACAUCAAGUCUCAGGGCAUGACCAGAGACGCCAUUCGACUUCUAACAAUCAUGUGCCAAAAUUCUCUUUCCCUACUUUAUUUCCCGAAAGUACUUCAACUUGCAUCUUAUAUCUAAGAACAUUUCAUUAAAAUUUUGCAGGUACGCUCAAGAUCCAGACCAAAUACUGAAGAAAGAGGAUCCUCGUAGGAAAAUAGGAUAGUUAGCUUUCUGUCAAAAUAACUCCACCAACUGGAGCUUGUAAACUAACCUCAUCAACAACUCUGCCAAUCGGAGACCACCGUCUAACAACACCAAACUCCACAAGUCUGGGGUUGUACAUAGCAAAUGUCACUCAAACCCCAUCGAUCGGAGGCUGUACAUACAAACAUCGGCCAAACUUCACCAAUUGGAGAUUGUACGUAGCAAGCAUCAUCAAACCUCGCCAAUCGGAGGCUGUACAUAGCAAAUUUCACUCAAACUCCGUCAACCAGAGGCUAUACGUAGCAAACAUCGUCAAACUCUGCCAACCGGAGGCUGUACAUAGCAAACUUCGUCAAACUCCGCCAACUGGAGGCUGUACAUAGCAAAGGUCAACCGAACUCCGCCGAUCGGAUCCUGUAUAUAAGCAAAAGAAGCAACACUCCGCCAAUCAGAGACUAACAUCGUAGCGACGUCACCGAAGCUCCACCAAUCGAGGGCAUGCAAGCAUAGAGACACUGUCAUACGCCAACAAUCAAAUGUUACAUUACAAGCUUUACACAGCCUGGUUUUUACAUUACAACAGCCUCGCUAGCCGAAGGCUUUACAUUACAAGCUUUACACAGCCAGAUUCAGCCUCUUACAUCACCACAGCCUCGCCAAUCGGAGGCCUCUACAUUACAAAUUACUUUACCUACAUCACGUUCACAACACAAAAAGGGGGACAUCAACAAUCGUUUGGACAUCUACACUCUACUCUUUACAUUACUAUUGCAAUUGAUAAUUUUUUUUGAACCACAACAGGUACUUUUCACCCUUUUACAUCUUUUGCAGGACAACGCAUUACAAUGAUGAACUCCCUCUAAGCGGCAAACUAGGGCAAGUUAGUGCAAUGUCAAGCAUCACUAGCUACGUCACGGAUUUAGUUUCAAAACUCAACUCGACUCGAUUUUUUGAAGUUCAUAUUUAUAUCUUACUUAUAACUCUUUCAUGUCUCAGUUCAUUAUAACUCGACAUUGGGGCAAUCUUUUUGAAAAUUCAUCCCUCUACCAGAGGUCUUCAAUAGAAAUUGCUACAGAACAUUUCUCAUUCAAGUUUCUUUAGAACUAUAUCUCGUCCCUCUAUUCGUGCUAAUCUCUUCAUACCUCGCCACCAAAAGAUUUCAGUAUUACCAUAAUUAGAUACUGGGGCAAAUUUUAAUAAAAUUUGCUAUGUUCCUACACUCUCGAACUACAUAUGACCUGAUUUCUUAUGAAGCCUGAGAUAUGUAGGCAACUUAGAAGCCAGAGUUCGUCCAUAACUCCAUAAACAUUUCUUGCCAAGUUAUUUGCUCAAAGUAUAUUUUGGUGGUUGCCUAAAUUGGAUUGUGCCAAUGUUUCUUUGUCCACGUCUUCUCUACUCUCCUCCAUGGACAAAGAAAGGGGCAAGCUGUUAACACCUAAUUUUGGCUCUCCACAUUAGUUUAACUAAAGUUUUAAUAAUAAUAAUAAUAAUAAUAAUAAAAAUAAAAAUAAAAAUAAAAAUAAUAAAAUAUAUAUAUGUUAUGAAUUUAUUGUAGGAAUACGAAAAGAUUUUUAAUUAUUUAUUUUAUUUGAUAAAAUUUAUUUCAUAAAUAUAUUAUAUAAAUAUUACUACUUACUUUCUCAUUUUUAAAAUUUCACGUCAAAUAAAUAUUGUUUUAAGGGUUAACUCAAUUUUUCUAAUUAAAUAUAAUUUCUAUUAUUGCGCUAAAUAAUUUUUUUGACAUUUUAAAAUUAAGUAGGCUUAAUUAUUUAAUAAGUUACUAAUUUCUAAUAAUUUUAUUUUUAGAAUAACUAAUUUUAUCAAAUAAGCUAGUCUUGCAAAAUAUUUUUUUUUUAAAAUUAUGGCUAUUUAAUAAAGAAGAGGUUAUAAUUUAAAUGAAGUUAAUUUGACCAAAUUUGGCAAUCCAAGUCAUUUUAAUUUGGCCAAUCCACGCAUGCCACAUAAGAAGCACAUGGAUUGUGCUUCUUCAGAUUCUAUCUCAUGCAUCCAAUUUAAUCUAAGGGCCCAAUUUAAUUCAGCAUUUUUCUAUCUAUCUAUCUAUCUAUAUAUAUAUAUAUAUUCAACACUUGAUUAAUUUUGAUCCUCCGAUCAAACGAUCAGACGACCCAAAAUGAUUAAGACUCUUCCUUCUCCCAAAAGAGACCUAUCAUCCGCUAUACUCUAGAUCAAUAUUGAAUUUUCCUUCUUCCCCAGAACCCUUACGCGUUUUCUUCUUCCACAGACAGAACGUCUUCUCCAUGGCCGCCCACGCUCGUUGCUUAGACCCCUACACUAGCUGCGUCUUCUCCAUAGACGCGUAUGACCGCCCGAGGCUCCUCUCCCAUUGCCUCCUAUGGCCGCACCCACGUGCUCCUCCAUCUCCUCGUCAAGGAAACGGCUCUGGCCGCCGGAAAAAUGCCCCAUCAUUCACUCAACCCUCUCAAAUCGACCAGAAAAGUUUGAUUCUUGAGAGAUUUUUCUUCUCCUUCAUGAUUUCUUCGCUGUUUCCUCUGAGAUUUGCGUUUCCAAGAAUUCAAAAUUUGAAUUCUAGGAGCCCAAAUUGACUAUAAAAGGAUGGACUUUGGGUCUCAACAAAACAUCAAAUAAUCGAUUGAAAAAAUCCAAAAACGAACGAAAACGAUCGAACAACAAUCCUGAAAUCGAACAACAUUUGAACAACACCAACAAAGGUCCGGAAAUCAUCUAGGAAGCAGAUUUUAAGGUUAUUAUCCUUUGUUCUCUGUUUCCGUUUUACUGCUUUGAGUUGAAGAGGAAGUUCGAAGUUGAAUUCUUGACGUCAAAGCCUUAGUUUGUUGCUCCAAGAAAGGUAAUUUCAUCUCCUCUUACAUUCUUUUUUCGAUGCAGCGUGUUAUGUGUUCAACACUUGGUAUAGAAUCUGUUAUUAAGUGUAUCUGAUUCCCCUGUCUUAGUCCCUACUUUAAUUUCGUCUUCUUGUAUGUCUAUGGGCAGUAGGUGUGAGUCAAGAAUCAGUGGAGUUGUUUGAAUGUUACGUGUUGAUUAUUAUUUUAUUAAUUUGAUUUUGUAUCCAUACAACUAGCCGAAUCUAUACCUUCUUUUUCUUGCAAUAGUUUGAUGUUCACUUAGUCUCCACGUCGAGUAUGCUAAUUGUGUAGCUCUGUUUCAUCACUGUUUGUUUGAAUCAUAACUGGAAUGCUGGCCGUGUUUCUCUUGUAUCUCAGCUGCUCAUAUCUUUAAUGUAAACUCGAGUUAGAAUCGUCUUAGAAAGCAUAAGACAUGUUCAUAUUGCUACUUUCGAGUUCUGCAACACGCGUUUAGCCUGCUUUAUAUUACUCGCUGCUGCUAAGUGAUAUCCAUGUUUAGGCUGAUGUGUUGCACCUUAGAUAUUUCAUAAGUUAUCUUGUUGUUUCGCAAGUCAUAUUUAAUUUAAAGUUCGAGGAGUCUCGAUUCUAAGUUUUAUUUACUACUUCAAGUAUAAUCAAACUUUGCCUAAAUAAUCAUUUUCUAAGUAUAAAUGAGCCAUUUCGAACUCUUAAGAUUAGUUCUUCCUGAUCUACUUUCCCCCCUUCGUGUUUCGUCUUCUCUUGAUAUAUAUUUUUCUUUCUGCUAUUUAAUGUUGUUAGUCAGGUGUCACUCACCAUGUUUGAAGGUUCCUAGCUCUUGUCAUUCUCUGAUUUAUGCCUGUUUUGGGGUAAUCAACUCGACUGAACCUAUACUUUUAUUGCAAAAUGCAUAAUCCCUAAGUUUAAGCAUAUAAAAUAAUUUAUAUGAACCAAAAUACAUAUCCAUGGCAGACAUAUUUUGUGUAUGUGUGUUAGGAAGACAACAGUUUAUUCAUAAAUGUAAGACAAAAUCUAUCUUGACCAUAGAAUAGGCAUGAUCUGUUGGUUGUUUGGAAUUUUUUUGAAGCCUAAGGUGUAUUAUUUACCUCCUGAGAGAUCAGCAUGCAUAGCUUCAAAUUAACUUAAAUUUUGAUUAGUUAUUCACUAAAAUGAUCAGAUUCAAGAGCCUUACACUUGCUGUCUUUUUACGUUAUAGUAGUGGUGUAACUCAUUCUAUUCCCAUGAUAACUCUUAUUUCACACGAGUACGAAUUGCACUUUGGUUAAUCUUUUUCAUAUCUCUCUAAAGGAGCUUGUGAACUAGGUUGUGCUGCUUUAUAAUUAGAAGAACAGUAGCACUGCAUCUUUUGACAGAAUAUUUUAGCUACUAUCUAUUAGGAUGUGCUUAUUGUUUAAUUCUAAUCUUUUACGCUUAAGGUUGAUCAAUUUCUAUUCUGUACAUUUACUCAAGCUGCCCCUGAUCGUAUAUUAGUUUGAAUAAGUUACAUGAAGUACGAAAUAUAUUUUUAAGCAUGAUCAACAACCAAUUGUGAAAUCAUUGUAAAACUCGCACAUCGAUACAACUAUCCAACUGAUUUUUAUAUGCUCGCUUGAAUGGUAUCUUAAAGCCGAUCAGCAACUCUCUAGAUUGAUUAAAGUUCGGUAUACUAAUUGCUUAAAUGUCAUCAAGAAACUGCCAGGAUAGUAUCAUGCUGAUGUUGCUGUUUCUGAGUAUAUUUUCUAAUAUGCCUAUGACUACAUGAUUCUUAUUUUUUAUGUCUUCUGAUAAAUCUAAAGUUCACUUGCUAAUUCUACUUCUUCUUUGUUUGUCACAUGUACACACGGGAGUGCGUUUGGAGUUAGUAUAUAACUCCAUCUCUAUCCAAAUCAGAGAAGCGACUGAUAGCCGCAUAAGCUCGUGUCUAGCAGCCUUUAUCGCGUCAAAUAGUGUCCAGCACUUCCUCUUUGCUCCAAAGCUCCAUAUUUUCUUACCUAUACAUACACUUAUAGUGUUGUCUUUCGACUAACAUCUUACACAUUAGUAUUUCACUCUUAUAUAAGCUUGCUUUUAUUUUGUUUGGGUUUGUACGAAUCAACUUAGAACGAUGGUAAGACGUAGCUGCCCACCUUGUAUCCCUUUAGAUAUUGGGUUUAGUAUAGUCCCUUAGCUUAUAAGCAUUACUUUCUAGUUAUGUUUUAUUUGUUACUAAAUAUUUUUAGUCAUGAAGGCACAACAUCAUAAAGAAAUUCAACUAAGGAAUAAUGUUUGUUUUUUCAAAUAUUGUGAACUUAUUUUCAGAUUCUUUUCAUAAACAAGUGUUUAAAGUGUGGUUUUUGGUAGCCUAAAAGUGCAGACUUUAAAGUUGAGCGAAGUGCAGAUUUUUUAAAAGUUAAUGAUAUCACAUUCUUAAGAGUUUAAGAGUGGUAUAUUGAGUCUAAAAAAUGCAGCGUUUUGAGCUCAAAAGAGUGUAGAAUUUGAGCUCAAAAUGUGCAUAAUUUGAGCAUAAAAGAUGCAGAUUUUUUUUAGGUAAAAAAUGCAGAUUAUUUUUUUUGUGUGAAAAUGUGGCUUUAACAUGCUCUACUAAGCAGAUUUUUUUUUAGUGUAAAACUGCAGGUUUUUUUUUAGGCUCAAAACAUAACCCUUUUGUGGGCUUUAAAGUGUAAAAUUUAAGCUUAAAAAUGCAGUUUUUAAGAGGUAAAAACUGCAGCUUUUUAACAACUUCACUUUGCAGAUUUUCUAAGUAUAAAAUGUGCAACUUUCCUUGGCUUAAAGCCUAUUUCUUUUAGAACCUAAAGGUAAGUACUUUGAAACUAAAACGAUAUAGUUUGAGAGAAUAAAAGUGCACUAUCUUAAGAGGGCAAAACAAGUAUUAUAGUUUUUGUUAGAAUUGUUGUUCUUUUAGUCUUAAAAGAUACAUACUGCUCAAGUUAUUUGCUCCGAGAAGGACCAAAAUAUUUAUUAGCUGUAUUUAUCAAAUCUCACUUAGGACUUUAUGUUAAGAAAGCUUAUCAUUUAAAAACACCCAAAAUGACUUUGAGAUUAGUUUAAAGGCUAAAAUAAUUACCUUUUAGGAAAUAUAUAUAUUUUUUAGAAAAUAAGUAGGGAAGUAGGCUUAUAUAUUUAACAAAAAAAUGUAACUAUAGAAUAAAUCCCAAUAGCUAGGCCUAUCUUAUAUUCUUUACAUCACCCCCUUUACAAAAUAUUGGCUAUUGUUACUUCUUUUUUAAAUCAAUUAUUGCUAAAACAUUUUCAUUUGUUAAAAUGUUAUUUCAAGAUUUUAGAUAUGCCAACAAGUUCAAAAUACAAGGUACAUACAUAUAUAUGUCAUACGCAAAAAGGUACAAAUCCUAUAUUGUUUAGUUUUCUCUAUAUGUAACUUAUUAUGUUGUAACACUUCAUAUUUUUUUUUCUCAUAUCUACUAUCACUUCUACAAAUGUUACUUAUUUUUUUUAAUCCCUACACUUUAAUAUACACAUUAUUUUACUACAUUUUUACACCCGGUUACUUUCUCAUUUUAUGUUUUAUUUUCUUUCAUGUCUUAAUUCUAUAUAUAAAUAAAAUGACAAAUUUUCAUAUAUUUUAAACUCAAUAUUUAUUUUUGAUACAUUUAUAUAAGGCACCUCUAUAUUCUUCAACAUAUAAAAUUGUCGUACAUUUUUAGUGCAUUUAUUUAUUUAUUACCAUAUGAUAAACAUACUACUAUUAAUUUUAUUUAAUAGACAUAUAUAUGUCGUACCUUGUAUUUUAAUCUUUUUCUUAAACUAAUAAAAUUUACUUACCAUUGAUUUUAAAGCAAAUAAUAAACAAGUUUUCCUAAUUAUAUUUUCCUGAAUUGAGUUUAAGGACUAUCUUCGGAUAGGCUCUGAGGGAUGCUUAAUACCUUUCCCUCGAGUAACCAAAACCCUUACUCAUAAUCUCACUGAUUUCGCAAAUCAAAACAAAGUUUACAUUUACAUAUUUAAAAAAAGGUUUCCUAAUAUUUUCCUUAAAAUUUAGGUGGCGACUCUAAAACAAAAACAAUUUUUUUCAAAAUCAUAGUGUCAACCAUAUUAUGUUGUGAACUGUUUCGGUUAGUUCGCGAUAUUGCCUUUCUUCAUUUCUUCAGUUUGUUUUGUUCCUUUUCGCCUGUUAGUGUCCUUUCUUUGUUCCUCAAUCCAUAUACCUGAAACUAAAGGAUUUAACAUCAGUUUAUGGCACAAAUUAAGCAUUUGAGGACACUAAAUCUAUAUAAACAAAGCCCCAAAUGAGUCCAAAUCUCGGACUCAUCAACACCCCCUACUUCAACUUUUGCUUGUCCUAAAGUAAAACUCAAGAUCAGCAGUUCAAAAAGGGAUGUCUCAAAUAGUGUUGCAUACCACUCAACAUGAAUGCACACAACAAGACUUAACUUACUCAUGCAAUGAUCAAUUGUGCACUCAAAGAUUCAAUUUGUAACUCACCGUUAUUAAAGAUGCUCAAGUUCACAAUACUUGCUUCAAAUGCAAGUUCAAGCUCAGCAAAAGUACUCAAAUGCCCUCACAACAAAGAUGAUUCCCUAUUCACACAAAGUUCUUCAACAAUUUAUAGUUUUGGGAUCACAUACAAAUCUCACACUCACAAAGAUGAACACAUGAAUGACUUCAUCCAUAGGUUACCCCUUAAUUUUCAAUCAACAAUUGUUUUAGCUCACUCAAGAUCACAAAAGUCUUUUCAAGGCUUGUAACGGGGCUGUGUGUAAAUGUAUGGCCAUUUAGGCUCAGCAAUUGCUACUUUCAUGAAGUGUGGUCUCAACAUCACUUUCUUCCUUUUCUUUAACAUUUUGAUUAUGCUCAUAAUUCACCCCAUGAUGCAACUUCAAAUGGACUACUGGAUACCCCAUUUCUUUUGCAACUUCCACUACUUUGUUUAACAUUUUUUUUUCAUUCUUUUUCUUUUUCUUUCUUCUUUUAUUUAUUUAUUUUUUACAUAGAGGGGUUCCAUCUUUUUCAAAAUCAUUGCUCAAAGGGCGAAUUUCUCACACUUCUUGAUUUCCCUUCUCUUUUCACCACACCCCAACUUAGGCUUUUGGACUAAGUUGGCUAUUCAAACAAACCACACUUCAUGAGAGUUAUGGGUGAAUGGAUAAAGAGGGGUCAGAAUUGUUCAAGUUUUUUCCAAGAAAAGGAUAUGACUCAAGAAGGUUCAAGCAAGGAUCACACAUCUCACAACGUUGGCCACAAAAGAGGUAUAUUGUCAAAUCACAAAAGAGGUAUAUUGUCAAAUUGUUGCCUAAGAUCAUUUCAAGUGCUUGCAUCACUUAGUCAACCGGACCAAUGGGGCAAAUUCUAGGUGUCAUCACACACAAUGGUCAAGGUAAUCUCAUCACACAAGGCAUUGGCACCAAUAUCAAACAAGACUCCACACUUUCUAGCUAGUGUGCAAUGUUCAUCACAAGAGACUCAUUCGAUAACCGGCUAGUCACAAUGAAAUGCUAAAAGUUCACACAUUGUCUAUGCAACUUCAUAUGUUUUCAUCGUAGUCGCACAUUCAUUUUGUUCAAUUAAUAGCACUAUUCAAGUCAUCGGUAUUGAUCAUAAUCGAUACUAAAAUUUGCACAAGAACAACCACAAUCACAAACCAUAGGGGUGGCACAAAAUUUAGAAAUAGGUCAAAACCAUUUCCAUUCAAAACAAGGAGCCACAAGCUCAAGCAUUCACAAGAUUAAGAUCCAAACACAAUCAAACACAAAUAUAGAUCACAAAACCCAAUAGAUACAAAUAAAAUGUAAUCACAAGAGGUAGGUAUAGAAAUACCUCACCCCACCCACAAAAGAAAAGCAGUUGUCCUCAAAUGCAACUAAAACAAAGAUAAUCAACAAAAACAAUAGAGAAGGAGGUAAAGAUGUCAUCCUACCAGGCUAAGCCCAGGGUAAAGUCUGCAUCAUAGUCACUCCAUUUGUCUGGGCAUCAGUGCCUGGGGUCACAAUCUGGGGUUGGGCAUCAGUGCCCAGUGUAACAUCAACACUCGCUCCAUUGGAUCCUGCCAUAGAAGUAUCCCUCCACGAUUUCUGAAUGGUCUAAUGUACCAUAGCCUCCUUGACCUCAGCUAGGCCCUCAUAGGUGGUCUCCUUCUGAACACCGAGUUGCUCCUCAUCAGUCUCAGCCUUGGACUAUGCAACCACUUCAUUAGCUCUAACCUCAUCUCCGGUGGUAGCCGAAGGCACAUCAGAACAGGCCAGAAUAUCAGUGUCCAGGUCACCAGGGAUCUCCACGGUCCCAAAAAUCAUCGAUAUAUUAGUGGACUUCAGCUGGUCCACAUCUUUCCUUAACUCUGCUAUUGAGGCCUUUAAGACGGUCACCUCAUGAAUGGCUCCCUGACCUCUCUAGCAAACAUCUAUCCUUGACGUAAGGGCAUCAAUAACAUCUCUAAGAGGUGUUAAAGAAGCAGUGAGAGAUCUCUCAAUCAUCCCAGGAACUACAACCUCUAGCCUGGAGGCACACACAUCAGCAAAAUGGUCUAGGUGGCCUAUUUGUAGCAGCAUGGCUUGGGUGAGUGGAGGUCGGGAUGCAGUAGUACUAGCAGUAGACCUAGGAGGCAGGGGAGCGGUAGAAGAACUCGGAGUCAUAAAGGGGGCAGGGCAAGAAAUAACUGAAGGCCCAGUGGCCGGAGUAGGCAAUAUUGCCUCUACAUGUAGUGUCUCACUAUCAAUAACCGGGGAUGUAUCCACCGAGGGUGCCCUCUUCUUCUCAACCUCAUCCUUCAAGUACUCAACCUCAAUAUGCCGGAUGUCAGUAGAUGAGGUGGGAAUCACUUCCGCGUCCUUCUUCUCAUCACGUGGAACUCAGGCUCGUCUGCACAACUCGGUGAUCAAAACUGGAAAAAGAAGAGAUGUAUGUUGCUUCCUAGCUCUCAUGGCCAUCUCCUGUCUAAUAAUGGCACCUAGAUUGAUGCGCUUCCCUGUAAUGAUGGAUCCAACACAGGCUACCUUUGUGUGGCAGAGGAUAGACUCGUUAUGGGACGGCAUAAUUGUGCUACUAAUGAAGCCGAACCAAUACCUCAGUGCCACAUUUAGGUCUCUCUUCUCUAUUAGCACUCCGGCCUCGAUCCACCUAGGAGUAGCGUCAGACAGGAGAGGGGCCAACCAACCUUUCAUAUACUCCAAAGUCGUUGUCUUGAUCAUGCUCAGGUAGUCAUUGUUGUCAAUGCAUUCCAAAACAAUAUUUAUGUCAUCACUAUCACAUUUUACCUUCCUUUCCCCGACAUCUACAUAAUCCACUGGUUUGAAGGUGGCAGCCUUCCACUUUCCUUGUGGCACCAAAGCUCCAUAGGUAGUGUAGAACUCCCAGACCGAAUUAGAAAUGUAAGGUCCCCAAGGUUUAGUUAAGAGCUGGAAGUUGUGGGAUUUCAGGGUGCUCCAUAUCUCUGGAUAUCUGUCCACCACACCAUCUGUGGACAUUCUCUUCUCCUCGAUGAUAGCCCUCAGUCCUCGACCAUUAGUUUAUUGAGAGACUAGGGGGAAGGACCCUGUGCAGGUGGUGCGACCACAGUCUGAUCUAGAACUGGAGGAGGAGGAGUAGUCUGAGGUACACGGAUCCUAGACGGAUCAUGCAUCCUCUUGGAGCAUAUUUCAGCUCUCCGGGCCAAUAGAAGUUGGUCAUCCUUAGGCUCAGAGAUUACAGCCUGAGGAUCCUGGUGUACUUUCUCGCUUCCAGAUGUGGUAAGGUGAGUCGCGUAGACUUCUUCAUUAUCGGAGCUGACCUCCGGUGACUCAGUUGCGGACGCCUUGCCCUUUCCUUUGCCUUUCCCACCUUUGGUAGGAAGUUUGGUUGCCUUUGCUUUGGAUGCCGAUCCCUUCUCAUUUAUGAUGAUACCUUUUGCCCGCUUGCGAAGCGGCAUGUUUCGUCCUUGAACUUUGGGUCUAGCCAUAGCUGCAAAACACAUUGAAAAGUGUUAGAAAUCAUUCAAUAAAAUUGCAGAAAUCAAGUUGCAGAAAAACUCGCCGAAUCAGUCGGCGAGUCGGCGAGUCGCUUAGGCAAGCCACAUUUGGCUCGCCAAAGAACCAGCUUGAAAAAUUUACAGAAAUAAGGCAUGUCGGCGAUGCGCAGGGCCCUUCAAAGAACCGCCGACACCACUCGGCGAGCUCAGACUAGCCCGCCAAAAAUUACAGUGUAUUUUAGGGUUUAGGGGCACAGAAAGGGUGAUCAAAGGAACCUUUCGGCGAGUCACCGAGUGAACUCGGUCACUCAACAUAGACAAAUCAAGAAUUAAGGGCUAUCAAAGGGGGACUUUGGCGAACCGCCGAACCGUUCGGUGAGCUUGACCCAGCUUGCCAAACUUCCCAAUGUGCCAAUUUUAACCCCGUUUCCAAAAAUCAAGCCUGCAGCCCCCAAAAUCACAAUCAAACACAUACACUAUGCAAUUCAUACCAGACCCAUAUGACCAAUGCCUUCGAGGUACUCAGAAUUCCCCCGAUUUGGCCAAAAUUGGCUAUUUGACGACUUUUUCCCUGAAGAAUGACAUCAAACGCUCCAUCAUUGGGAAAAUUACGUCAUUUGGCACAAUUUGGGGUUACUCAGACUUUACCCCACUAGACCCAAUACAAAAUAACCGCAACCCAACAUUUUAGAAUCAAAUUAAUUGCACAAAACACGGGAAAUCAUCUUUUUAAGCAUUUAGGCACAAGUUCAAAAACAAUACGGGCGAUCCGACACAUAAAAACCGAUUUAAACAAUUACCCAACACAUAUCAACACAUAUUUACCGAAAGCAUUUGAGUUCAACCACUAAUCAAAGGUGCGGUGUUCAGAAAACCAACAUGUAUACCGAAUUGAGAAUUUGAAAAGCUAGGCGGCAAAGUAUUCCAAUUCUGAGCAUGUGAUCACACACAAAAAUGAAUGAAGAAGUAAAAUACAGAAGAUCUAAAGUGCAGGAGAGAGUGUACGGGGUAAGAAAUGAGAGAAUAUGAAAUAUUUUGAAAUUUUAAACCAUUUGGCCUUUUAAAACCUUUCAGUUCGCAUCCCUUUUGGUGGUGUAAGUCGUCCACGCCGAACCACUCAUGAUGCGGCGAGUGGUAAUUCACCUUGCCGAGAUUUACACGACCUUUAGUCAAUUUUGGGGUCCAAACGGUGGACAAAAAUGGGCUCGCCACUUGUUUGGCGAGUCGCCGAUUGGACUUUUGGCUCGCCAAACCUCCUAUUUUCCAACACACUUCACUUUUCAACCUGCACAAUCAACAACUGUUAUUCAAAAUAAAAAUUAAAGCAUUAUUAACUUGGGUUGCCUCCCAAAAAUUGCCUUAGUUUACGUUGUGGCACGACGCAAGUACCUAUUCCAACUUCAUUUUUGGGGUUUGCCAUUUUAUCACUAGGCAACCCCCCUUGUUGUCUUGGAUUCAAAUGUGACAAAAUUUGACCCAUUUGGGUCUCCAGUUGCUUAAUAGAGACUGAGUGAGAGGUCACCACCUGAUUCAGAGUCGAGACAUCCUCUUUCAGUUCUUUCAACACUUUGUCGAACCCAUAAACCUUGUUGAGAAAGCGAGAUAGCAUGUCUUCCGUACGGCCACCCUCAGAUUGUUGGGCUUUUAACGCUCAUAGGGAGGAACAUAUAUAUCCUUCUCCCACUCUCUUUUCUUCCAAGUGAUGUUGCAAUCACGCCAAUCUUUGUCAUGGUCUGUCUAGCCCUCAUCUCUAUUCUAACCCUGAUUUCCACCCGAUCUUGGGUAGUUAGCACGAUAACCUCCUUCUUGAUUGGAUAGGAAGUUCACUUUCUUAUUGUACAUUGCUUCAAAUUGGGCCUCAUCGGGGUUUACUCCACCAAUACCCACAACAUUAACACUCUUCGUACCAACACCCAUGACAUUUUUAGACAAGAUAUCCAGCUGUGUCAUCAUCUUUGCCAUGUUUUGGUCUCUCUCUUGAUCUUUCUCAAUAUGAUCCUUUGUCAUUCUAAAGUUGAGAGGAGACUUAGUCCUCACGAGUAUACCAUACCCUGUUGAUCUUGGUCGUGCAAUCAAAGAGUUGGGAAGCUACUUCAUAGGUUUGUUGCAUUAUACCACCGGGAGCAAGUUGAUCAACAACUCCUUUGUUCACCGAAUUGAGGCUCCUAUAGAAGUAUUGCAACAACACAUUAUUUGGCAAUCCAUGAGUUGGGAAUUGCAUCACCAACUUUAUAAACCUCAGCCACGUCUUAUAGAUUGGCUCACCUUCCAAGCGUUUGAAACCUUGGAUACUAUAACUAAGAGUCAUCAUCUUCGAAGGGGAAAAAAUUACACUUGGAAUGCAGUAGUAAGUUCAUCCCAAGAAGUGAUGGAGUCUCUUGGCAACUCAGCCAACCACUUGCUAGUUUCACCCAUCAGUGAAAAUGGGAACAAUCUAAGAUGGACUUAUUCUUGCGAAAUGUUCUUAAAUGAGAACGGUCCACAAACAUCAACAAAAUUUCGGAUAUGCUCAUAGGGAUCCUCAUGAGCAAUCCCCCCAAAAUAAUCCUUUCAAUUGUAGGAGCUGAAGCAUGGUGCUUGUGAUGUGAAAAAAAUAGUGUUUCCUUCAGCCGGAGGUAAACGAAUGGCUCCAACACCACCCAUAUUGACUGUAUCAUUGAUGUUUGGGUCAUUAACGUCAUUGAGGUUUCCGACAUCAUCUUGGUGGCCCACUUGGCUACCAUUACUUCCGUUAACGCUCUUGUCAUCCUUUAUUUAACACAAGAAACAAAAAACCAAAACUAAAAUAAGUAGAUUCAACUAUAAUUAAAAAUAUCACAAUUCAACUUCACAAAAAGAAUUUUAAACAACACCACUCCCCGACAGCGACACUAUUUUGACUAACGUUUCAAGCACACCUCAUCCAAUUCUACGUGCAAACGAUCGCUAAGCAGUAUAAAACCCAACAAAGAAUUGGGGUCGAAUAUUACAUAAAGCGGUACGUGUUCAAAUUCAAUUAGGAAGUACAAAUGUGGUCUAAUCAGCCAUAGGAAUAGAAAUUAUCAAAAAAAGACAUGAAUCAAAUUAAAAGGGGUGACACGAAUGUCAGAUGGGGAGGAGGGGUUUGAUUUUCAAUUAUCAACUACAAAGCAGUCAAGGUUUAAAAGUUCCAAAACGAACAACCAGGUGACAGUACUAUUAGUCCUAGCAAGUCAUAGAUUACUUGGGAUCACUAGUCGAAAGCUGUAAAUGAGAAACAAGAGGCAUAAAUAUAGAAAUUGCCUGGAGGUCAUUACAAGUAUUUUGUUAAGAUUAUAUAUCAAACAUCAAUAACUUCCUGAUAAGAUUCUAUAAUAGGAAAGAAUAAGCCCAUAACUUUUUUCAUCACCGUAAUUUAGAAUUAUGGAAAUGAUGCAUUGUAAGAAAAGAGUUUGUAUAUUCAUUUAUAAUAGCUUGGAAACAAAUAAAAAAGUUUGUAAUCAAAUAGAAAAUUUUCACAGGUAAUUUUACUACUAUUUAUAUAACUGAAAAGGGCCUGAAAUACCCUCAAACUAUUGAAAAUGGUACAAAACUACCUUCAUCCACCUAUUGGCCCCCAAAUAUCAUUGUCAUCCAUCUAUUGGCUCCCAAAUACCCUCUCAUCCAACUUUGGUUCCAAUAUUGACCACUUUUAUAGCAGAUUAUCAUUUCAAUAUUGUUUUUUAAAAUAUGUGAAGAGUAUCAAUUGGUUACAAUUUAAUUACUUAAAUUAAUUUACAAACUAACCUAUUAUUAAUUAUAUUCGACCCAAGUUAACUACACUUCACUCAAGUUAACUACACCCAACCAAAAUUAACUACAACCGCCCCAAGUUACAUUUACUUAACUGAUUAAAACAAAUACACCCUUCAUUCCCAACAUUUCACUUCAUAUUUCAACCUUCUUCCCCAAUAUAUUCCCCUACAAUCUCGAAAAACACUACCUAAAUACACCUGUAGCACCAUAAAAAUCACCAAUACACUCAUGCUUUUUUAUGGUGAUACAUGAGCAUAUUGAGGUAGUGCUUUUCGAGAUUGUAGGUGAAUAUAUUUGGGAAGUAAGAUUGGAAGAGGAAGUUAAAUGUUGGAAAUGAAGGGUGUAUUUGUUUUAAUUGGUGGCGUAAAUGUAAUUUGGGGCGGGUGUAGCUCAUUUGGGUUGGGUGUAGUUAAUUUGGGCCGGGUGUAAUUAGUAAUGAGUGGGUUUAUAAAUUCAUUUAUGUAAUUAAAUUGUAUCCAAUAGAUGGUUACCAUGCAUUUAAAAAAAUUAAAUUAUUUAAAUGAUAAUUAGUUAUAAAAAUGGUCAAUAUUGGACCCCAAGAUGGAUGACAAGGGUAUUUGGGAGCCAAUAGGUCUAUGACAGGGGUAUUUGGGAGCCAAUAGGUGGAUGAAGGGUAAUAUUGUACCACUUGCAAUAGUUUAAGGGUAUUUGAGGCUCUUUUCCAUUCAUAUAAUUAAAUAAGAGUGGCUAAAAUACUUUAUAACUUCCUCGAUUCUUGUUCCCCUUAAAAGUCUAUGAUUACAUAAAUCUUGUUGAUGUUCGUUUAUCAUAUUAUAACGGUAUAAGAUGAUCCCUUAUGAAAACACAGGGUUAUGCAUUCAGCUAGAACCUCAAAUUUAUUGUAAAGAUGCAUCAAUACCAAUUGAAAAUUUUAAAUUAUUUGAAGAAAAAAUUAGGAAAUUCAAUAAAAUACAAUUACUCUGAGGACUUUAAAAUUUAACAAUAAAAAUAUUUUUUUCUUCUUUAGACUUUUAUUAUGUUUAUUAUAAUCAAUAUUUAAUAUUAUUAAAGUAAUGAUAUACUAAUUAAAAAAUGUGAAAAACGAUUUCAUCCGCCCCAAGCUUUGAAUUUUUUUAGACAUUUUUAUUUAUUUAAAAAGCAAUGCAUAGAAGGAACAUGAACGACAAAAAGAAUAGUGAUUCACCUAACAAAUUUAUAAUAGUAUAAAAUAAAAAGGCAAGAAAAGACAAAAAAACUAAAUUGCACGAGUAAAAAUAAAUAAAUUUAAAAGGAACUCAAGAAUUACAAAAAUUAACUGUAUCUCUGGGAAGAACUCCAUCUACCACUCCUUCGAAGAGCUAUGUAGUUGGUGUUAUAGCUUUCUCCAACUCUUGCAGAAUUUAUAUUGAAGUCUUCUUAAAAUUUCUUGAAUGUCAUGUCUAUCCCCUAUUUAUAGUUAUAGCGGUUGACAAGGUUGCUUAUGAUUGACCAAAAGAUGUCAUUUUGACACUUGACAGAUUGGGAUUGGUUCCUGAAUUUAACUGGGAUUACCACAUAAUUUGGACAUGUUGCAUCACCCUGUUGGUCUAGGAUGCCUAGUCAUUUUGACACAUGUCAUGAGUUCGGGCUUCAAAGUAGAAUAUACCUUGGAGUUGAACUCAAUAAAAUGAACUUAUUCAUUUGUAAAGCCCAAAUUAUUCAUUCAACCCAAAUGCAUAUGGAUUUAAUUCAAAAUUUUGUAUGAAUUUUAAUCCAAUUAAAUUUAGGUGCCUACAAAUGCACCUUACUUCAACACUUGUCGACGUGUAGGCUUGCAAAAACGUGACGACGAGACUUUAUGUAUUCAUGAAUUUGUUUGUUUUAGACUUGUCGACUUGUAGGCUUACUGAAACUUGAUGACAAUACAUGAAGUAUUCAGGAAUGUAUUUUCAUUUUUUGAGACUAGUCAAAGUGUAGGCUUGCCGAAACUUGAUGGCGAGAGUUGAAUUCUUAAUGAAUGUGUUUUCAUUUAUGAAACCUCUGGUGUGAAGACUUGACGAAACUUGUGGACGAGAUCAAAUCUUCAUGAAUGUGUUUAAUUUUAGACCCUUCAAAAAUAUUUGUUUCUUGUCACCGCAUUCUUGCUAGACCACUACAAAUGAUUUGUUUGCAGUGAUUCUAAUAUUUAUUCUAAAACAACAUUCUUUCUCAACUACAAUGUGACACCUCUAUAUCAUUUGAAAUAGAUGGGUCUAUUUAAUGAUAAUAUUUUUUCUUGUGACCUUUGUCGCAAGAAAUCAGAAAACAACAAAAUUAAUUAGAGCUUUUGAACCAAAUAAAAAGAAUAUUAAAUUUUCUUUGGUAUCUAAGUCAAUUAAUGAAUCUGAUUAAGGUGUACUUCAUUUCAUAAAUCUUUGGUUCAUCCUUUCCAUAUUGGUGUGGUUUAAAAAAUUGCCACUAUAUCAAUCAACCCCAAUCAGAGUUUCUUCUUCCAGUUUCACCAUAACAUUCCUUGUGCAAGGAUUAUAAAUCUUUCACCAUAAUCUCAAUAUAAUCCUCUCCAAUGCACAAAGGAUUUUCGUCACACAAACUUUCAGAUGAUGCAAAGGCAAGUUGCCCGAGUGUGUUUAACCGUUAAGCUCCAACGCUGCUCGAUUUUAUUAAAAUGAGUAAUGUAUCCUCCAUCAUAUUUCAAAAGCAUAGAGUAAGAGUAUACUCUGUACUUUCUCAGGUAGCUUUAAGUCUUGUUUAGCAGUAACCCAUUUUUGAUGGUUUAAGUUUGCAUGUUUGUAGUGUAAAACUAGUAUCUAAUUGUAGAAAAAUUAAAAUCGCAAGUCGUUUGUAAUUUCCAUAAUUACAAAUAUGGAACUAUAAUAUAGCAAAGAUUUGCAGCCAAAUUCCUCUUCCAUUGCUAGCAUUUUGAUAUUUAAUAUUGAACCCAUUUUUUAUGGUCAGAUUUUGUGCGAUUGUUGUGUAAAAUUCAUAUCUCAUUCUUGAAAAAUAAAAAUCACAAGAUGUUGAAUUUUUCUGAAACUAGAAACAUGGAACAACAAUGUAGCAAAUAUUUGCAACAAUUUUUUCUACCAUUGCUACAGUUUUGAUUUUUAAUAUUGCACUCAACUUCAUAUUUGCUCGUCUUUUGAUUUCUCCAAUUGUGUUUUCACCGAAGUAAUCCCCAUUUUAUUUUCAGACCCACGUUGUGCAAUAAAAUAUCCAGAAGUAACAAUGGAUUUAAUUGACCGAUAUAGGUUACAUACCCUUUCCUAGAGAUCGUGGAGAAUAAGCAACAUUUGUGUGCCAAAGUUCUCACCUUGAAAGUUCAUGUUCUGGUCAUUGACGCCUUCCCACUUGUUAGAAAGCUUCUGGAUACUUCUCAUAAUCUUCGACAGUGGUCGUAAACAGAAAUGAAGGACACCAUAGACAAUUUCUCUAGCAAAUUCACAACUAAAAAAGUUCACCUCUUGAAGUUUUUCCGUCAUAAAAAUGUUGUUGUUUCCAUCCCUCCUCUAUGUGAUUAGAAUCUUAGCAGUUGGCGUGUUCCUCCUUUUGCAUUUGGUGAGGUUUAAGAUAUUAUGUUCACAUAUGACCAUAACAAAAAUAUUCUCUACACCUUUUGAGAGAAUUGGCGUCCAUCCACCCAUACAGUCUCUACCGUCAUCGGAAGAGUUAUAUAUGUUUAAGAGCUAUUGGAGGCCUUCUAUGAUGAAUUUAUACCCUAAGCCAAAUGAGUUGACAUAUGUAGAUGACCAGGGAAGUCUUUUCUCCCAGGAAGCUGCUCAUACUUUUUUUCGGCAUUCUAUCAACUUACAAAAGGUGUCAUCGACGAAGUCUCCUUUUGGGUAUGGACAAUGUUCUAGGUUAGGGAAUUGAGAAAAUAUGUUGAUUCUUCACCAAGGAUGUUUAUGAAUUGGACGAAGCCAAGUAUGAGUCAUGAUUCUUCGUGGAAUAUUCACAUGAGUUUUUUUACCUUAAACCGAAGAGAAGAAUGCUCUUUUCGUGGAGCUAGGCAUGGAAGAAUCACUUAGGGAUGAAACAUAUCUAGCGUCUUUUCUUGCAUAUUCACUUUGCAAGUUUUUUCUUCCUAAUUAGAAGGUUGAUAUUGUUCAUGCUAAGGUCUUCAAAGUUGUAAGCUUGAUGGCUCAUGGAGAGAAAUUUUCUUUGGCGGAUCUAGUCUUUGCAAGCAUCUAACAUGGCCUCAAGGAUAUAUACACUUCAUAAAACAUAAGUGCUUGAGAAAAAGUAUGAGUAUUUUGAGAUCUACUACCAUGUCACCCUACCCUAAAAAGGUGUGUGAAUGUGGCAGAUAUCUGGAGAAAAGAUGGAAAAAUGUUUUGGCUUUGUUGACGCUCCCAAGUUAUUGAAACAAGUGAAUGUGUAUAACCUUCAUAAUAUGGAAAUGCUACAAAGAAAAAUAGAUACAUAUUGAUGAUUGUGAAAAAUAGUCUAAUUCCUAGAGAGAUUUCCUUAUAGGCCUUCAUUCAAGUAUUAGUAGUUUGAUACAAAAUGAUGAUCUCAUUGUGGAGCCUUAUAGCCCUCACCAAUUUGUAAUGACCCUCAGGGCCAUUUAUGUGUUUUAUGCAUUUUUUCCUAUUUUGCCCCUUUAUGUAGCUUUCUUAUUGAUUUUGUGUGCUAUUGGGUUGGUGGCACGCUUUUCGAGGUGUUCAGUUGAGUUUUUUGUGAGUUUUAAGUUUUGGAAGCUUAAUGCUUGGAAGAGUUGACUUCAGUCAACAUCCAGAGAUUCUGAUUUCGGAUGGCAUUUGUGUAAGUUUCGUCAGCUCUAGAAGGGUUAUUUUGGUCUACUAUGAUGAUGUGUUUGGGUUUAGAUGACUUCAUUUGAAGUUUGUGCAAUUAGGUGAUUUAGCUUAUAAGUUUUCCUUAAGGUUUGAUGCUGGUCCACUUUCUUGGCAAAAUGUUCUUAGAAUCCAAUUCCAUCAGUGCAGUUAGAUCAGCAAUGUCGAGUUUAGUCUGGAAUGACCUUUGGUUAAGAUCCUGGGGUGUUAGGGUUAGUUUUUAGCUUUUGGCAUUUCUUGUUUUCUAUGUUAAACUAUUGACUUUGGUCAACAUUUUGACGAUACAACCUCUAUUGGUUGUUUCAUUGAUUCUGUUGAGUUUGGAAAUUUGUUUCGAAGUGGUUUGCACAUUUGGUUUUCUUCGUUUUGAUGCCGAAUGAAUUCCGAGGGAUUGUUUGAAGUUUCUGGACACUCAACCUUUUUACUGAAAAUCAUAUAUCUCGUGCAUAGGCUUUUGUGAACCAUUGAUCGCUUAUAGAAUGUUGGCUUAAAAGAUCAAGGGCCACUUAAGCGAAGGGAAGCUGUAGGACAUGGCUCACUUAAGCAACAAACCCUUGGCUUUUGUGAAGGCCACUUAAUCGACCAUAGGCUUACUUAAGCAAAUGGUGCCUCUUAAGAGGGUUCACUUAUGUGUAGCCUAUGUUAGCUUAAGAGAUGUUCGCUUUUGUGAACAUUUGUCCUCUUUUGCGAAGACCGCUGGGAUUUAACCCAAUUUCUCCUCGUUUUUUGUUCAAACCUGAGACCCAACUCAUUAGAGCUCGACUUAGGGCAUUUUGGAGAAAUUCUUGAUGAGUUUCAACCACUAUGGUUAUGCUUUUCCUUUCCCUCUCCUCUACACUCAUAUGACUUUAAUUUCCUAAUUCAAAUUCAUUUCCGACCUCAAAUUUCUUUGUUUUUAAGCUUUAAAGUUUGGUAAUUUGGCCAUUUGAGGUCUGAAUUGAGUCUCGUUUUCGCCCAUCUUUUGGGAAUGUAAUUUUAUUCUGGGAAGAAAUAAUGGCGGUUUUAUUUUUGUAAUUCUGUUUCUUUGAUUAGAGGGUCAAUUUUUGACCCAAUUCUGAUUUGGAAUUGGGGUUAAUGAUAUGGGUAACGUUGGAUCCGUAUUAAUUUGCUUUUUGUGUUCUUGAUAGUUUUGCAACAAUUUGAGGCUCUCAAGAAGGAAAAAAUGCAUGAUUUAUUGUUCAUGUGUGGUUUUCGACCUUAAGGUAUGUUAUUUCUUUCUUUCCUUAGACUUGUCUUAGCAACACUAAUUAUAUUUGAGUAGUAUUACAUGAUUUAGGUUUAACCCUUUGGGUCUAUUGUGCUUUACUAAUCCUUGAAUAGUUAGGGCCAUAGGUUGGGUUGUUUAGCUUAGGUUUUAGUUGGAGAAUCCUUAGUUAAGGUGACUAUCCUUAGACUAUCCUUUUAGAUGGCGUGAAUCUUAGGAUUGUAUUGUGUUUGAUUGAUUUGGUUGAUGGCUUGGGUCCUUGUGUGAUUUUGUUUGUUUGUUUAACUUUUGGGCCUGAGGCCAUAGGUGUGGAUUGGCAGGAUUACUAGGUUAAUACUCUUGUGGUGUGACAUGUAUUUUUUCCUAGUUUUAUGUGUUUGAUAUGAUUUGAGUGUUAUAAUGCCUUUUGACGAGCUAUUACUUACAUGAUUUCUGAUGAAAAUGACUUGGCUUUGGGAAAUAAAACGGACCUUAAUGAGUUGGAAGUUUGUGAGACCAAUUUUGGCUUAAAUGUGGUAAAGAGGGCCUAUUUACUUUUCUUAUCGCACAUUUUAGCUUCUUACACUUUGACAAUGAGCUCGAUGUAUUAUUUUGGGCGGCCCAUUGGUUUAAGCUUAUCCUACAAUGUAUCAUUUAUAUUUACAUUGUUGAUAAGCGCAAAGUAACAUCCAGGCCGCCCAUUAAUACAUAUACUUACGUUAUUGGUAAGCUCGAUGUACCAUCCCGAUUGGCCCGUGCAUACCUCUAUCUGGGUUAUUAGAUUUCGAUUAAGCUUUUGGUAUCAUUAUAGGUGGAUUGAUGUUUCAUCUUGACAUAGGAGCUUUACACUGUAUCAUUGCAUGAAUUGGACUUUGAGUGUGUUGAUUAUUUGGGGUUUUGUGUGUAUCUUGCGUUUGAGUCUUGUUAUGAUAAAUUUUUCUCCAUCACUUGGUUAGUCUGUAUUAAUUUUCCCUUGUAUUGCUUGUAUUAUCGAGCCACUUUUAGAUAUUCGAUCUUUCUAUGUUGGACCGGCCUAUGAUGUCUAAUGAGUACCCCAUUUUUUGUCACGACCCAGGGGUACCCCUUAGAUGUAACAAGGCGUAUAGAACCUCGAAGGACUCCAUACACGCCACUUAGCAUAUCAUAACAUAAGAUGAUAGAAAAGUGCGAAAAUUUAAAACAUUUUUCCAAUACAAUCAAAGUUUCAUAAAAUGAAGUGGAAGUCUUACACUUGUCUCAAACCAUCUAAACCAUGAAUAUCUUUGGGACACAGCCCAUACAAUAGUUCUCAACAUGAAAUAAAGACAUAAAAUGAAAGGGUAAUCAAGUCCUCGAUGUUAUGAGGACUCACCAAAACUUCUCUUCUUGAUCUACUAUGAACCAAGACACGGGGAUGAAAGUCAAUAUUGCCGAACCCUACAUUUGAUAAGAAUCUAGGCAAGAGUAUGCGUUAGUACAAUAAUGUACUAAAUAUGAUGGAUAGCAUAAAUCAUCAACAUAAGCAUAAUGUAAGCAUUGGUCAACAUAUGACAUAUACCAUAAUCAUAAGAGACAUCAACACAAGGCAUAAGUUAUAGGCACAAUAGACAAUAACAUAAAUCAUAAGCAUAUUCAAUGCACCUAGAUCAACAUAGUAUAAGAGGAACACUUCAUAAGUAACCUCAAAGAAUGCUUGUGCAAUGCAUGGAUAAGACCCUAUAAAUCUCACCCAUGCUAAACAAACCAAAUUAGGCCCUCAUUCAUAUUCAUCAUCUUUUUGAUAUCAUCCUUAGCUUAUUUCUCAUAGACAAGGGAACAUUCACCUUUAGUCAAAUUUAUCCAGGAAAGAAACUAUAGCAACAAUCCAAGCUAAGCAUACAUCACACAACUAAACCUCAUAGCAAAACAUACUUAUAAUACUUCCUUGAAGUAACCUUAGUUCAUUAUUCAUGUUAAUGUUCUUGUUGUGGGAAUAAGACGUAACCGACAUGAGACUAUGUGAGCUAUAACAUGAUCACCCAGUGUUACCCACACCGAAAAAGGGUUGUCCUACAUGCCUAAGGUAGAACCAUGGUCUAUUAGUUUAGGUGGAUGCAUUAGCUAAAUAACCUAUGAGGCACGUAGUUUAUGGGAUACAAAGAUUUCUACUACAAACCCGGCCUCAACUGACGUGAGGGCUUCCAUCUCAAGAAAUUGCUUUCCAGAAACCUGGCCUCUAUUGAUGUGAGGGAUUCCAUCUCAUAUCAAUAUCCACUCGGUGCUAAGCAUUAAUCCCACAGAGUACGUAUUAAGUCUUGUCUUAAGUCAUAUUUCAUGGAAGUAUUUCCUUGACAAUCAGUCCUAUUUAGUUCAUGGGGAUAGCUCUUGGAUCAUGGGUGAGAAAACCUUUCACCGUUCAUGUCCACAUGUAAAUAUUUGAUUCAAUUAGGUGAGAAAGACUUUCAACCUAGAAUCUUCAUUAUGUGAGAAAACUUUUCACAUCAUUGUUAUUAUGAGUUCAUGAGAAUAACCUUUCAAUCAGCCCACAACAACAACAUAUUCAUUAACACUUCACUCUCAAAGUGUACUCAUAGCAUUUACAUAGAUUUCAUGAAAACAUGCACAACUCCAUCAACUUGCCCUUUCAAGGUUCAAGCCCUACUAUCAAUCAACACAUCUUGAAUUUAAGCAUUAGACAUGGAUUUCAUAAUAACAUGCAUAUCUUCAUAAUAUAGGUCAUGUGGGUAAAUCCUUCCAAUACAAUCCUAUCCACCAUUCAUCAAGCACAUAAGCUUCACUCUCAAAGUCUUAACAUUUAUAGUUCAUCAUAUUAUCUUUACUCCCAAAUCCUUAGCAAUUAACAUUCAUAAUUACAAGCCUUACUCUCAAAGCAUUACUUCUCACAAUCAUCGCACAUGCCUAGAUCUUAAGAAAUUCUAAUCACAUGCUUCAUUCUUAAGCAAUUUUUAAUCAUAUAUCAUCAUAUAGGUUAAAUCUCAAGCAUUAAUAAAUCAUAAUUUAUCAUGCACACUUGAUCUUUAAUCAAUUCAUGUCUAUGUGCUUUACUAUUAAGCAAUUCAAGUCCAUAUGCUUCCCUCCAAAGCAAAUCUAUAAUGCAAUUCAUCAAUCAUAGAAGAUUACAUCUAAACCCUCAACUUCCCCUGUUCAUGGCAUAAAACCCAACUAUGUCAAAUUCACCUUAGAAUCAUAGGUUAAGCAUGAAUACAUGAUAAUCAUACUAAGAACAUGUAAUUCCAUCAUAAACAAUCAUAAACAAUCAUAAUCCACUAUAUUGGAUCAUAACCCAGAACAUUAGAAGAAACCCUAGUUUGACUUAGGGAAUUUUUCUUCUAAAUUGGGGAAAACAUGGGGGCUUCAUGGAUGAAAGUACUCCAUGAAUGAAUAAGCCAUCAUACCAUGAUUACAAAGCCUACCAAGCUUGAAAAAAUGGAGACUUGACUUGACCUAGCUUGACCCACUUCUUCUUCUUCUUCACUUUCUAGAGAGAGAAUAUUUGAGAGAAUUAACUUUGGGGAAUUGAUUUGGGUUUUUGAAAAUAUGACUUAGUUUGGUGAGUUUUUACUUAAAAAUGACUUAUAUAGUGGUCCUAGACUUACCCAAAACGACUUUGAUUUAAUUGGACUAAAAUUGGAAAAGACUUAUUUAACCUUCAACUAUAGUGACCUGCCUUGCCUAGAGACCACAUGAGUCCCCAUGAGCCUUGGACCCGUUCAUGGACCAUGGGGCAGUGUCUAGGCAACCAUGCCUUAAGCCCCAAAAUCCUAAGGCUUCUUCACGAAGGGCUCCACGAGCUGUGGAUCUUACCACGAGCUGUGGUCCCUCUCGUGGGCCUUGAGGCAGUGGCAAAGCUACCCUCACUCAACUUUCAUGUAACAAGGCAUGACCAUGGCCACUCCGUGGAGCCAUCUAAGGCUUCACGAGUUGUGAAGUGGCUCGUGUGGAGAAGUCCAAUUUGGGGUAGCCUUAGAGGCGUAUUGACUCACCACCACGUGUGGCACCACUGGGCGUGGUGACCACCACGGGUCGUGAAGGCCCUCAUGGUCAUGGGCAGUGCCUUGGCCCUUGGCCUGUUACCUUUGCUCUUGCCUUCCUUCCUUGACUCUAACCUUCAUGUUUAGCUCUAGUUUAGCCUACAAAUUUCCGGGGGGUUACAAUUUCUCCCUCUUGGGAACAUUCGUCCUCGAAUGGCAUUCUAGGCAUCUCUUAAAGGAAACAACUCUUAACUAGCAGCCCAUCAUGCAUGCAACAUCAUAACAAUGCACAAAACGAUGGAAGAAACAUCACUCCAAACUAAACAUACUCAAUGCACCUCAAGGAAAGUAGGAACUAUUCCUAGCAACCAAUAUGCAUGAAGUCUCAAAUUUCUAAUCUUUUAAGGAGGAACUUCCUUCUCCAAGCUCAAGGCAUGCUCAACACUAUCUUAUGGAGGCUAUGUGCAAUUUACUAUCAAAAAGCAUAACUAAAGCAUGUCUAACAAUUCAUUUCAUGGAGCAUAUAGGCAACUCAUACUUAAUGCACAACAACACGAGGAACAAACAAUCAUAUAAUUCAUUUUCUUUCAAAACAUAAACUUUCAUGAACAUGCACCACAUAAGGAAAUCAUGGAAACAUCUAAAACACACAUGACUACACAUAAAGAACAAACCAUGAGGAACUCAUCAUCUCAAUGCUAAAUGAGGAAUACAAGGAAAAAGGAUGAGGAUAUCGGGACAUCUUAUUGGCCCUAGGCCUCCCAAGUAGCCUCCUCAACUAAAAACCCUCACUAAAAUAUCACUCAACAUUUUUAUGGAAGAAACUUCCUUGUUUCUUCUAUUUCUUAACUUGCCGGUCUAAGAUCUCAUAAGGGCUUUACAAAGCGGGGACUAAACUUUCCCAAACCCAAAUCAUGAACAUUAAGAACACUCAACGACCUUGCUAUCUAAGUACAUCAUCUCCCUCUUGGGAGUAAGCCUAUACGAACUUUGUAAGCACCAUUUCUUUCAACUCUAAGGUCAGAUCAAGUUAUCACAAAGUUUUCACGUCCAUCACACAAGAUGAUUCUAAACCAUGGUAAGUUGCACUACUACCCUUUUGAGGAGUCUACUCCUUCAACACCUCUAGCCAUUACUUAAACACCCUAUUCAUCAAACCUAUCAACAUAGCCCAAAACUCAUCAUGACUAAGUCAGGUUCUACCAUCAAAUAAACAUAAACAUAACCAUAAUGCAACCCAUUCAUACCAAAGACAACAUCAAAGUCGGACAUUGAAGUACCAGCUUCUCAAAUCGCAGCCACGUCUCGUAGAUUGGUUCACCCUCCAAGCAUUUGAAACCUUGGAUACUAUCUCUGAGCGUUAUCAUCUUUGAUGGGGGAAAGAAACUUACAUAGAACGCUGCUGUAAGUUCAUCCCAAUUAGUGAUGGAGUUCCUCGGUAAAUCAGCUAACCAUUCGGUAGCUUCACCCAUCAAAGAGAAUGGGAACAACUGAAGAUGAACUGAUUCUUGUGAUAUGUUUUUGAACGAGAAAGGACCACAUACGUCCACAAAGUUCCAAAUAUGCUCAUGGGGUCUUUAUGGGCCAGCCCUCUAUAUAGUUCUUUCAUUUGGAGGAGUUGUAGCAUUGUGCUAGUGACAUGGAAAACAACAUUCCCCUCAACAGAAGGUAGACGUAUUGCACCAACACCACCCAAUUGAAUUGGGUCAUUCACAUAAUUCAGAUUUCCAAUAUCUUCUUGGUGGCCAACUUGGCUGCCAUUACUCCCGUUCACACUCAUUUCUUGUUUUGUUCAAAACAAAUCAACACAAGCACAAAAUAGAGUAGUUGAUUCAGCUACAACACAAGAAUAUCACAAUUCAACUUCAAUAAUAAAAUUCUAAACACCGUUCCCCGGCAGUGGCACCAUUUUGAUUAACGCUCAGAUUACACCACUUCCAAUUCUAGGUGUAGAUGAUAGUUAUGUGGUAUAAAACCUAAUGAAGAGUUGGGAUCGAACCCACAGGGAGUGGUACAAUGUUCGAAUUCAAUUACGAAGUACAAAUGUGGUCUAAGCGGUUAUAGGAAUAGAAAUUAUUGAAAACAUACAAACAAGUCAAGGGGGUUGACAACGAAUGUCAGAUGGGAGGUUUGGAUUUGCAAUUAAUAGCUAAAACAAAUAGGAAAAUAGAGGAAACAACAAUAUUAAGAGGAAUUGUCGAGAUGUGAUCAAUUAUAGGCCAAUUUCGCUAUAUGUGUAAUUGAAAUUACUAAUGAAUUGCUAAAUCUCAAUGUGUAGGCUAGACUGCAAGUGCAACAAUUUUCUCUCGAACAACUAUAAUGAUUCAAGUGAGUUCUCUCAAACCUCAACAACAUUAUCAAUAUAAAUAGCCCCAAACCUUGAUACACCUACUUUCUCGAGCUAUAUAGGUAGAAUCAAGUUAAGAAUUCACUCUCUCGAGUUGAACCCAUAUCAAUCCAACAACUACAAUCAUUAAUCAAAGGCUUUGGUUCUAAAAACUUCUUUCUCAAGCAAGCCUAGAACUCUAAGCUAGAAUUCCAUUUGCAACUACGACUCAUCGAUUAAAACACAACUAAUGAUUAAACCCACUUCAAUUAAGCAUUUAAAUCAGUAAAUAACAAUACCCAUAAGCUAAUUCGACCAAUAAUCACAUGAUCACAACCAAGAAUUGGCAUUUUAGCUAAGCAUCAUAAAAAGAUAAAAACAAUUACCAACUAGAUUAGUCAUCAGCUGGGUAAAAUUCUCCAAGCCUUUUACAAUACUCUAAAUUGAUUAUGUUCGAAAACCCACUUGCAAAUCCCCAAAGUUAAGCUUAGAAAUCCUCAAAGUCUACAAUGGAAACUCAAAAACUAAGAGAAAACUCUAACUUUCAAACUUUGGGAUCAAAACUCCAGUCUCUGCAUUUAAAAUUUCAAUUUAUAGUUGUCCAAUUUUUGGCCUGAAUGGCCAUUGGGAAAAAUAAGUCGUGUCUCGCCGAACAGGUCAGCGAUCCGCCCUUUGCUCCCUUUCAUCACUAAUUUGCAUUAUCCAUCAGUCCUCCAGGUCCUUUAAGUUUGAGCGAUCAAGGUUGCCAUCGCGGAGUCAUUUGGCGAUUCAUCGACUGCCCAUUCCUGUCGCCAAGUUGGUUCUUCCGAGGGCUGGCACGUUGGAACUUUAGGCGAGCUAAAGAACCACUCGACAGUUUGUUGAGUAGUCUUGGCAAUCACCAAGAUUAAUUUUCUUCACUUCUCCAUCUUGUUAGUUCCUUUUUACCCACUAGUGUCCUUUUCUUUCUCCUUAGCCUUCAUACCUGCAAAUCAACACUUUAACAUCAUUUUAAAGCAUAAAAUAGGCAUUUGAGGACACUUAUACUAUCAAAACAAAGCCCUAAAUGAUUCAAUAUCUCAGACUCAUCUUUCUUACCCGAUGGUCUAUAGGAUAUGACUACUACAAGGGCUAAUGCUAGAAGGAAUGAGGAAGACAAUAUGAAUCAAGAAGUUCCUCCCCAAGCUCCUCCACAAGCGUCGAUUGACCCUUUGAAUGAGAAUGUAACAAAUGCGGAAUUUAGAUCGGCUUCCCAUGUAUUGGCUCAAGUCGUGACGGCACAAGCCAAUAUAGAUGUGGUAGUCCCCUUGAACCCAAAUGUGGGUAUGACAACGUCAAGAAUGGGAGACUUUACAAGGAUGAACCCUCUGGAAUUUUAUGGUUCAAAUCUUGAGGAAGAUCCUCAAAAGUUCAUGGAUGAGGUCCAUAAGGUGUUGGACAUUAUGGGAGUUACUCCCGUGGAGAAGGAGGAAUUGGCUGCUUACUAACUUAAAGGGGUUGCUCAUGUUUGGUUCAACCAAUGUAAAGAAGAAAGACCGGUAGGAAUGGGUCCCAUAGAGUGGGAAAGGUUCAAAACUGCUUUUCUUGAUAGGUUAUUUCCUUUUGAGAUGAGAGAGGCUUUGGUGCUUGAGUUUAUUAACCUUCGGCAAGGUAAUAUGAGUGUUAAGGACUAUUCUUUGAGGUUUACUCAAUUUUCACAAUAUGCUCCAUCUCUAGUGGCCGACUCUAGGUCGAGAAUGAGUAAGUUUGUGACGGGUGUGCCUGAUUUAGUGGUGAAAUAAUGUCAUACCGCCAUGCUCAUUGGUGACAUGGAUAUUGCUCGCCUUAUGGCUCCUGCUCAAAAGAUUGAAGAGGAGAAACUAAAAGGGAGAUCUAGGGAGAAAAAAAGGUCUAGAAAUGAUGAUGAUAAUUCCUUCCAUGCAAGGACCGAUAGACAUGGUCAUCCUAAGUAUCGACAAAGGUUUUUCGGGCAAGGUUCCUCUGAUUCUCCUAAGUAUAAUGAAGAUAGGGUGUCUAACCCUAAACCGCAAGGAAUGAGUAGUGAAUCCCUAUGUCCUACUUGUACUAGAUGUGGAAAGAGAAAUAAGGGUAGGUGUUUAGCCGGCAUAGAGGGUUGCUUUAGUUGUGGUGAAAGUUGCCACAAAGUGAGGGAUUGUCCAAUGGCAAAGGUUGAGAAAAGAGGUUAAGCAAUCUCCUCCUAGUGGUUCGGGUGCGAAUGCUCCAAGGAAAAAUAGGUUCUCUUCUCUCUAAGCUAGAGGUGAACAAGAGUGUCCCCCAAAUGUGACUACCAGUAUGUGUUUUAUGCUUUAUUAGAAUCUGGUACUGCUUUGUCUUUGGUGACUUGAUAGACUUAAUAUACUAGGUCUUGAUGUUAUCCUUGGUAGGAGUUUUUCGUACUCUUAAUUAUGUCUUGAUUGAUUGUAGAACCCGAUAUGGACAUUAUGAGUGUUGGGGAUGUCAUUGAUUUGGCCAAUGCUCCGAUGUCAUGUAUGGAUUGGAGGAAUAUGGUGUUUAGAUAAUUUCUUGAUGUUUUAUGUUAAUAGACUCCUCUAAAAGGUAGUAGUAUAGUUCACUAUGGCUUAGCAUCGUCUUGUAUGACGGGGGUGAAUGUUUAGUAAUGUUUUGAUCUAACCUUAGUUGAAUUGAAAUAAGCGGUGCUUAGAAAGCCCAUUUAGGUUGGCUCCCAAAGGGGAGAUGGUGUGCUUAGAUAGAAAGGUCAAUGUGUGUUCCUAAUGUUCAUGAUUUGGGUUUACUUGAAGUUCUCACCCAAGAAGAGUGUAAUGAGGUUUGGGAAGUACGAGAAGCUUAGUCACCAUUUUCUAGGCCCAUGUGAGAUCUUGAGACAUGUUGGUAAGGUUGCUUAAGAGCUAGAGUUGCCUAAUGAGUUAGCAUCAGUGUAUCUGGUUUUCCAUGUCUCUAUGUUAAUGAAGUGUGUUGGACAUCCAACAUUCAUAGAUCCCUUAGAAGGGUUGGGAGUUAAUGAGAAUCUCUCUUUUGAAGAAGUAGCGAUUGAGAUUUUAGACCGGCAAGUUAAGAAAUUAAGGAGUGAGGAAGUUGCUUCCGUGAAAGUGUUAGAAAGGGGUCAUUUAGUUGAGGGUGAUACUUGGGAGGCCGAGGCUGUUAUGAAGUCCCAUUAUCCUCAUCAUUUCAUUCGACUCCUCCUCUAGCUUGAGAUAAACAGUUCCUCAUGAUUUGCAUAUUUUAUGAAGUGUUGUGAAGUCAUAUCUGUUUUAGAUGUUCCCAUGAUUUCUUUAUGUUAUGCAUGUUCAUGAAAAAGCUUAAGUUUUAAAAGAAAAUGAGUUUAUGGGUUUGAUUUUCCUCAUGUUGUAGUGCAUUGAGCAUGAAUUGCCUAUAGACUUCAUGAGAUGAAUUGAUGAACAUGCCUUAGCUUGGAGUUGAGAGAUUCCUCCUUGGAUGUAUGCUAUGAGUAUAAAUUGCAUAAAGGCUCCAUGAGAUUGUGUUGAGCAUGUGUUUAGCUUGGAGAUGAUACUUCCUCCUUGAACAUGAGAGAGGUUCAAAUUUCAUGCAUUUUUGGUUGUUAGAUGUAGUUCCUUCCUUCAAUGUGAGGCAUUGAACAUGUUUAGCUUGGAGUCGAUGUUUCCUCCUUGAUUGUGUGCAUUUAGAUGAGUUGCAUGCAUGAUAGACUGCUAGUCUUGAGUCGUUUCCUUUAAGGGGUGCCUAGAAUACCAUUCGAGGACGAAUGUUCCCAAGGGGGAGAUAAUGUAACACCCCGAAUUCGAGAUAGAGGGCAUAACAUGUUAGAACUUUAAGGUGCCACCUCACAAAGACCAACCAUGGCUCGUGGGUGGAUCCACGUGUGGUAGAUGGCUCCGUGGAUGGGCACCAAGAGAACUCCCUAAGGCAGUAACCCCGCCAAGACCCACACUCAGUCGAUGGGUCUAUGACUCGUGGCUAGGGGAACCGUAGGUCGACCAAAAAGUCUCUGAAUCCACCUAUGCUUGACUACGACGAAUGAUAGGUCCAUCCAUGGUCUGUCAGCGGGGUCUCGCGGGCCAGGACUGUGCGGUUAUUUUAAGGACACAAUGGGACUUUCCGGUCUUAAUUAGAUUAAAGUGGUGUCGGUUUACCCAAGACUACACCACCUAUAUAAGUAUUUUAGACCCCUAAAUUCAUUCAUUCUAAGUGAUUAUUUCAAAACCCCAAAGAAAUCCCAAAAAUCCUCUCUCAAAUAUUCUCUCACUAGAAGGUGGAAGAAGAAGGAAGAUUUGAAGCUAGGGUCAAGUGAAGUCUUCAAUCUUCAAGAUUUUGUGGGAUUUUUAGUGAGUUAUGAUGACUUUUUAUCCAUGGAGCCCCCAUGAUUUCCCUAAUUUAGAAGAAGAAUUCCCCAAUUCUAGUUAGGGUUUCUUCUAAUAUUAUGGGUAUUGAUCUAAUUGAGUGGAUUAUGAUUGUUUAUUAUUGAAUUAAUAGAAUUACAUGUUUAUAGGAUGAAUUUACAUGUACCCAUGCCUAACCCAUGUUUCUAACCUAUAAUUGAUGUAAAUGGGUUAUAUGCCAUGAAAGGAGAAAUUGAGGAUUUAGAUGUAAUCUUCUAGGAUUGAUGAUAUACAUUAUAGAUUUCUUGAGAUUGAAGCAUAUAGAUAUGAAUUGCUUAAGGGUAAAGCAUGUAGACAUGAAUUGAUUGAGAUCAAGUAUAUAUGAUGAACUAUGACUUGUAGGCUUUGAGAUUAGAAUUGUCUUGAGACUAAGGCAUGUAUGAUGAAUGAUGAUUAGUAGAACUUUUAGAGUGAAGCUUAUAUAUUGAAUUAUAAUUAGUGGGGCUUUGAGAAUAAAGCUAUAUGAUGAUUGUUGAUUUGUCGAUAGAAUUGUUGUUGAAGGAUUUACCCACGUGAUCUACUCUAUGUAUGCAUGAAUGAAUAAUGUGAAAGGUUUUCUUACAUAGAAUGAUUCUAGGUUGAAAUGCUUGCUCACCUAAAAUGAAUCAAAGCAUGUAUGAAUUAUGAUAGCUUGAAGUAGUGAUAUGAUAUCCCAUCAUGAAUAGCUUGACUUGGUGAGACAAGACCAUGCAUAGUAGCUUGAGUUAGUUGAUCUCGUGGAUAGCCUUGGAUUGAGCAAUAGUACCCUUCCAAUGGUUAGCUUGAAUUAGAAUGAGAGGAUGCUUGCAUGAUAGCAUGACUUGGUAAGGCCAAACCAUUUCAUUGGUAGCUUGGAUUGAGAAACAGUACCCUUCCUUGAGUAGCUUGGACUUGCAUAGAAAGGUGCUUUCCAUGAUAGCUUGGUCUAGCAUAAUGAGGUGUUUUUCCUUGGUAGCCUUGAAUUGGUAAAUUGUAACCAUUCAUGAGUAAUAAAUUAUUUUUUAUUGGUAAGAUGAUAUGCCUUCCAUGAAUAGUAGAAGUAUCUAAAGACGGACUAGUCUCUAAUCAAAGUAGCAUAGUUAUGAUGAAACAAGAUUACUUCAAGGGAGUAUUGUAAGCAUGUUUUAAUAUGAGAUUUACUUGUUGUAAAGAUAGAUUAGCUUGGAUUGUUGCUUGAGUUGCCUUCCUUGAUAUGUAUGACCCGAGGUGGAUGACCCAAGUCUUGACUAAGGAUAAGUUGAGGUCACUUGAGAAGUAUUCCUCUUACAUUAUGAUGAUUUAUGUGCAUUAAUUAUGCUUAUGACUUAUGUUGUUAUCUCUUAUGCUUAUGGAUAUUGUCUUAUGUUGACUAAUGCUUAUAUUAUGACUACAUUGAUGUUUAUUAUUGCCAUCAUAUUUAGUACAUUUGUACUAGCACAUACUCUUGCCUACAUUUCUUAUCAAAAUGUAGGGUCCAAUGAUAUUGAUUCUCACACACUACAUAAAAAAUGAUCAUUAGCGGUAAUUAAUUAACGACAAUAACUUAAUUGCUGUUAAAUAUGUAUUUUUAGCAGCAAUUAACACUCAUUGUAUAUGUCCCUAAAGUCUUUAGCAACAUUGGUUCUAAUGACACUUAACUAAUGCCAGUAAAGACUUUAGCACUUUUUAUUAAUGUCUAUAUUUAUUACCGCUAUAAGUUGUUUUUGUUGUAGUGACACUCGUGGCUAGGAUCAUAGUAGAGCAAGGAUUGAAGAUUUGGUGAGUCCUCAUUGCAUUCGAGGAUUUGACCACCAUUUUCCCUUUAUGUCUUUCAUUUCAUUUUAGAACUAUUGUAUCGGCUGUGUCCCAAGAUUUAUUCUUAUGUUGGAUGGUUUGAGACAAUGAUGUUAGACUUCCACUCAUUUUAUAAAGACUUCGAUAUUGUUGAAAAUGUUUUAAAUUCCCGCUCAUUUCUAUUAUCUUAUGUUAUGAUAUGCUAAGUGGCUUGUAUGAGGCCUCUUGGGGUCUUGUACGCCAUGUUACAUCUAGGGUGUACCCUUGGGUCGUGACAAAAAUGGUCUAACUUCUUUGCAAAAUUAUUCUUUCUCAAACCAACAAACGAGUUAAGCAACAAUAUGAACUUAAUUUAAAGGGCAUUAUUCUAAGCCAAAUUAAUAUACCAAACCCAAUAUCUAAAUGAGGGGAAGGUGAGUGACUAUGUCUUGCUAACAUUCUUAGUUCGUUAGUUUGCAUAAAUUCAAAUAUAAAUUGAAACAAACACAAAUAUAAGUGCAAAAAAAUGUACAAAUCGUUAGUCAACGAUAACAACAUAUAUGUAUGCAUAAAAAUGUAAAGUUUUGAGAUAAGGAGGAAGUGCGAGAUUUUCUUUUGGGAGGAGAAAGUCAUUCUAGACGAGCUAAAAUGCAUAUAUUGGUCGCUUCUCUAAUUUGGAUAGAGAUGGAGUCAUAUCGCAACUCCAAACGCGCUCCCCUCCCCAGUGUACAUGUAUAACAGAGAAAGGAAAAAGAGAUUAGUAAGACGAUUUAACUUUAGAUGAUAUUUAAUAUAUAAAUAAACCAAGCAAAAUCAUACAAUAAAUAUACCACUCUGGAACAAGAAGAUGGAAACGUCGGACAAGACACAUUUUUUGCAGCAGGCGACCAACUAAAUAUAACCAAAUCACAUAUAUUUUGAGCACAUGCCAACAUGAAUAACCAAGUCACAGUACUUCAAAUUUACACAUGCCACACACACGCACGCGCGCGCACAUAUAUAUAUAUAUAUACUAAUAGAAUUAAUAAAGAAAUUUUAAAACUCAUAUUUUUAUGGGUAUAGGAAAGAAGAGGCAAGCUGCAUUUGAGACAUUUGCACAAUCAAAAAUUACAUUCUUCACAAAACAACAUAUGCGCGCGCGCACAUAUAUAUAUAUAUACUAAUAGAAUUAAUAAAGAAAUUUUAAAACUCAUAUUUUUAUGGGUAUAGGAAAGAAGAGGCAAGCUGCAUUUGAGACAUUUGCACAAUCAAAAAUUACAUUCUUCACAAAACAACAUAUGCGCGCGCGCACAUAUAUAUAUAUAUACUAAUAGAAUUAAUAAAGAAUUUUUAAAACUCAUAUUUUUUAUGGGGUAUAGGAAAGAAGAGGCAAGCUGCAUUUGAGACAUUUGCACAAUCAAAAAUUACAUUCUUCACAAAACAACAUGAUCUGCUCAUCAUUUAAAAAAAAAAAACUAAAACACAACAAAACUAUAUCUUUUAAAACAAGUUUUCUGUAUUGAAAAACAUGAACUGAAAACUCUUAUCACAUGAUCAUCUAUCUGGAGUAAAAGAAACAAAACUAAUUCAUGUAAUCAUGAAAAGAAAACAGUUUUGAAGCUCAACGUCUAAAACACGAAAAUUAAAAUAAAUUCAAUCUUUGUACAGAUCUCAAAACAGGGUUCAAAUACAUUCUUUAACCUUGGUUUUUACCUUGGCUAUAGAUAUAAGGUCUAUUGAAUAUAUAUCUAAGAGGGAGGGAUUAACUUCCAUAAUCAUAGCUUAAUACAAAACAGAACAAUGAUCAUGGAUCAUAGACUAUAUACUGUCCAAAAUUCACAACAUAAAAGAAAGCUAACAACAUGAACAAACAUCCCGUAAAACGAAGAUCCUAAAAAAUGUGAUUUCUAAUGAUAAAAUAAAGAGAUUCGAGUCAGAUUUUCACCUGUUUCGGGGCAAUGAACUGAAGCUCUUUUGACCUCGGAUAUACCCCUAAAGUUGGACUAAUUCGGACUCGACCACGCACAAGAAUCCAAGGACAAUGAAAAAUAAUAAAAAGUUGGAUAUUUCCAAGAGUAAAAGAGAUGUUUUAGGCAGUUUUUGGUUGUGUGUUUUGUGAUUGACAGGAAACAUGUCUUAAAACGAAUGCCUAAGCUUGAUAUUUAUAGAGACCAAUUAAGGGUUCAAGGAGAAUCCUUUAGGCGGGAUUUUGAUUUUUAAAUUGAGUGACAAGACUCCUUGAACUUCGGACAAUACACCAUGGCAGAAAACUUUGCAGAAGCAAUUGAUUUUUAUGACCAAAAUAGUGAGUCUCUACUGAAGCGUAAGGAUUUGAUACAUUUUUUAACAUAGAAGUAGACGAUCUUCUGCAACACGCUAUGGGGAGAAGGAACUUGCUCGAAAAUGGCCGAGCCAAAUAUGGAUUUUGAGGGGCAAAGGCCAAAACUUUGUCAAAAAUUCAGGUUUUUUCGGCUAAAGAGAUAGAUAGAUAGAUAGAGAGAGAGAGAGGCGUCUGAUGACACCAAAUGAAAAAAAAUAAAUUAUUUUAUGAAAUCCAAGGGUAUUUAGGAUAAAAUAGGUAGAUUAAAUGAGGUAUUCAAUGUAUUUG